GUCAAAAUUCAUUCGUCCAACAGUAAACUGAGAUGCAAAUUGAGUGAUAUUGCAUGGUUUGGUCCAGUAUGAAUGGCCUGGUACUGGUACGAUUCUUUUUGCUUUCGACAGCUCUGUUAUAGCUCUCUUUUAUGUUUUUCUCAUUCUUUCUCUCUCAUUUACUCUCUCUUUCUCUCGCCCUCAUUCACCACCUCCAUACAGCAUCACUGCUAUCUCCUCCGCCAUGCCCAUAUUGCACCGCCUCCUUAUCUGUGUCACAACUCCCCUCAUACCACUAUGCGUCAUCAUCUUCCUGCACCUCCUCUUCCUUGUCCUCCUCCGUUAAUCCUUCUCUCCUCUCUUCCUGUCUGGUUUGGGUAUACAGAAGUGUUGGUAUGUCAAUAUGUACCAGCCACCAAUCGGCAUUGGACUGAAUGUUCAACCUUUUAUUGUCCCCUUCCCACCACAAAAAUAGUAAGCAAGCGAUAUUAUGCUUCUCAAAAAUGAUACAUGGUCUAUCAGAGUAUACCUGAAUCAAAAGGUAAACUAGUAUGAUAACAUUAACAAUCAUUUAUUCAGCAACCCAAACGACAGCGCAACAGUGGAAAUAUUGACAUGCCUCAUGUAACAUAUGUAGUUGUCAUCAAGUUUGCUGAUUUCCAGGUAGCAGCAAGAAUAAAAUUACACAAGGAACAUAAUUAGCCUACCAAUAUUUAUCGACAGUAAGAACCAGAUAGCAAUUAUAUCAUGCACAAAAUCAUCAAAUGACAAUUAUUGAUAGGUUUACAGAUAACAGAGGAUAGGUCACCUGAAAUUUAUCGGAGACCAUGUGUCGAAGUCGUUGGUAAUAAACAGGCCCAAUAAAGAUCUCACAAGUCAACUCUGUACCAUAAACUCCACUGUACAGGACCUCUACUCCAUGAUAGUUAAAACCAUAAGAAGUCAGCAUUGGACCUAAUUCAUCAACCACAGAGCUUGAUUUGGAUGGUUUAUCCUCAUCUGCAUUACAGACUGAUCUAGAAAAAGGGGUUGCAUCAACAAAUUUUCCAUGCAGACUUCCUCCCUGCAAAGUUACCCACAGAAAGAAAAUGCAGCAACACCAAGGAUAGGAUAAAACACAGUGGAAAAGCUAACCAUGCAAAAUAGCAAUUAAAAUUUACAUCAUCCAUCAUGAUGAAGAUGGAAAGCAUAGUUUCUUAAAAGCUUGACUUUGAAACUUUCCUGAGAGGAUAAAAAAAUGAAAACAUGUAGUCCACCAAAAUGAAUGUAGUGGAUGCAAUAUGAACUCUUAAACUAUACAAAAGUAAUAAAUACAGACCAAAAAGACAUGUCCAAUACUAAUGCCAAAAUAUAUAGGUCUACUACAGAAAUAUACAGUCCAUCUAAUCCCAUGCUGUCCCAUGAAAAACAGUAUACAACUUCAAUGUACUGUUGUUGUACAUCUCACUUCAAGUUAACAAUAUAGUGCAUUGUGAAAAUGCAUUAACAGUAUUAUAAAUUUAACAAUUGUUACAUUAUGAUGGACUAAAUAGAUAUUUUCAUUAUCCAAAGGGUUAAACUCGCACAACAUCUAAUGAACUAAAAUGGUAGAACUAUCAUACAGGUGGGGCAUCAUGUCAUAUUGAAAGAGAUUAAAAAGUCAUUCCACUGCAAUCAAGUACAAGAAUAAGCAAUGAUCAAAAUGACAAUACCUUGGCUGCAAUAGAUUCCAAAAGCAUUCCAAUAGUCAUUCGUGAAGGAAAUGCAUGAGGAUUAAUGAUUAGAUCCGGUCGCAUCCCGGUAACCGCAGAAAAUGGCAUGUCAACAUCAGGCCACAUCUGAGAGCAGACACCUUUUUGCCCAUGUCGGCUGCUAAACUUGUCACCAAUAAUAGGAUAUCUGGUGCGCCGGGUACGAAUGUUAACCUGGAAAACAAAUAAUUAUACUGCACUCUAAGCUGCUGUUGCUCACCAUUUGAUGUGUAAGAGCAGUGAUUUCGAUGUCCAAAAUAUACUAAUGGCAUGCAGUCAAAUACCUUGGAAACUGUAAUCAUUCAUAUUUCAUGAAAGCAGAAAGAAGCAUUACAUUGUGCCCAGAACCAAUAACAAAAGUGACAGUUUGUAUCUAAUGGAGCAACAGGAUAUCAAUAUAGGUUUGUUUUAUUUUAAUUUGUUUCUAUUAUUUUUGUUUGUUUAUUCAUCUGCCAAUUUUACAGCUAAUAUUUCUCAUUGUUUCGACUUAGAAACAGAUUGGUGAGUAAUAUAAUGAACACAGUGAUCUUUUGACUAUUGAAAUGCAGAAAUAUCUGAUGUUGUCAUAAGUGAAUAUCUUUCACAUUUAUUAUUAUAUAAGUGAAUUAUAAAUAGUGCUAAUUACAAGAGUCAUGAAGGAUAUGAAAUGUAGCCAUCAUAACAGUUGAUGUUGUUAUAAGUGAAUAUCUUUCACAUUUAUUAUUAUAUACUGCUAAUUACAAGAGUCAUAGAGGAGAUACUAAUCACAACCCAGGAUAGCUUUUAGACAAGAAAGAUACUUACAGGAGAAGAGUCUCCUUUUUAGGAAAAUAAACCAAGGGAAAAUCUGCUUUAAUAUACCUUGAUUAUUCUUCAUGGUCUGCCUACUUAAGCAAAAUUCUCAUAGACAUGUAUAUUUCAUUUUGAAACAGAUAUUGUUAUUGACAAUAAAGCAAUCAAACUCUCUUGCUGUGUGUCUGAAAGAGAGGAACAUUGAUACAUGGUUUAUUUUAGUUAAUGACAUCCCAAUUUAAAUUCUUUGUCUGUAUCAUUUCGACUUCCUACUGAUAUAGUGAUAAGGUCUGUUUUAAGUGCUUAUGAUAACUGAUAACAAGUUACAUAUGGUUACUGAAGCCAUUCUCCUUUUCUCACCUGAUCUAAGCCUAGAUAUUCAUAUAAUCACUAAUCCUUUUCUAGCCUAAAAAGAAUCAGAUCUAGCUCUGCUUUUAUCACCUCUUGUCAACCCUGACAUUAAUAAUUUAUAAGCAAAUUCACAAAAGAAGCAUGUGCUUAAAUGCCUAAGAAUUGAUUUUCUCAUCAGAAAAUCAAUUCCUGAUGUUUUAAGGCAUCAUAUGAAACAUAAAGAAACUCAUGAAAACAUAUACCAUAAUCACUUCAUAUGAACAUUCACAAUAUAUUUUGGACACUAUUUUCUGUUCAAAAAUUUAAGAAUAAAUGUUUGUUUCAUUAAUUAUGAUUACCACAGACAGAAGUUAUGGAAGAUGAACAUAACUGAUCGAGGCAUUUAGCAUAAACCAUUUGCAUGUUAUUGAAGUCUCUUUUCUGUUUAAAGUUUUACAGAUACUCCUUAACAGUAUCCAAGCUAGGCCUAAAAAUUGUACAUCUACCUUUUGCAAGUAAUUUUUUGAGCCAGUACCAUCAACAGCAACAUAGUCAAUGAUCACAUCUUCUGAACCCUUCAGCAAAGUAGGUUUGGUAAUACUCGUUAAGGUAUUAUAAGUGCUAUACAAUGGCUCACUUGGAUGUAUGGUCUGCAAAAAAGAAAAUAUUACUUCCAUUUAAAACAUUUACAAUGGUAAUUUGUUGAAAAAUGUAACUUAAUUGUUGGAAAGGAUCACCUGUCCAACAUAAGGAAGGCCAUCUGAAUCAAUAGAAGACUUCAAUUUCCUGUCAUUGCUCCUAGCAAAGAUUUCCAAAAGCCGAUCUUCCUUUUCAUGCUUAUUUGCCAAAUCAAUCGACUCUGUCUGCAUAAAGUAUAAUGAUGGUGAUACCAUAUAGGUGAAAAUAGGAAAGUAUUCAUUAAUGGCCUGACAAAUUAUAUGAUAUGAAUAAAAUGCACAAGCUUUCUUUAUCUAAUAAUCCUCCAAGUGAAUUUACCUUUAACUCAUUCCAACAUGUAACUUCAACACAGACUAUCUUAGACCAACUCAAAAAAAUACGAUUGCAUGUCAUUGCUUCUUAAAAAAAUAAAACCACUCACAAUUAUUUGCAAGCACAUAUAAUAUUGACAAACUGUUAAUUAGCCUAACAUGAACCUAACAAUAGCCAAUAUGAUAAGGUAUUAGACUGCAUCUUCAUAUGUAAUUAAUGAACCAUGUGCUAAUUUUAACACAUCCAGAAGUUUUUAACUAAUCAAAUUUUCAUUUACAAUUCAUUAUACAUCUUCAAAUAUAAGUUGAUUCAUUUUCAAGGUAAAUAUAAAAAGGGUUUGGAUGGAUCCAAACUAGAAUGAGUGGUUGGCCCAUACCGACUUGUACCAAGCAUUGACAUGGUAUAAUAUUUAGUCUGAUCGAGGACCUACAGUGUACAUAAAACUUUUCCCAAAAUGGGAUAUCUAGUGCACUAUUCUUAAGGCCCAAAACAAUCUCUUUAUGGUGCCAUAUGGAUCUAAGCCAUUGCAUACUCUUCUUUUCUAGAAGCUGAAGUCCCGAUCAUUCUCUUCAAGGUGUCAUGAAAAACCCAAAGCCAUCUUCUAGCAUUUCUUGUGGGAUUGAAGUGGGUAGCUUACACCAUGUUGCUACCUAAGACUGGGUUGUUUUCUCUCCUCAAAGGGAGGAUAACCGCAUCUUAGAUGUAAAUAUCCAAAUAAUGUGGUACUAUUAAUAGUCCAUAAAGAUACACCAUGCAUAUGACGAAUUGUAAAGAAGUAUGGCCAAAGACAUUUUUAGUUAAUGAACACAAGAUAUCUCUGAUCCUUACUAUUUCAAACAGAAGACUAGUUAAUUGGCCAAGCACCCUCCUUCUAAGAUGGUGUUAGGUCCCUUUCAAAUAAUUUCCUCAAUUGAUCAAGAUCAUUAACAUCCAAAAUCGAAGAAGCAAUAUAUACAUUGAAAAGAAAUGCUAGAUAGAGUUGACCAAACAAGUGUCCCAUAAUGUUGCCACUCAAUUAACUUUUAGAAAUCCUCCCAUAGACAAUAGCAUUUAUGCUGGAUAACUUCUACUACUGUUUGCAGAUCUUGAAAGUGAAGCAACUAAUUAUAAUGUGUACAUGGAUUUAAUUGUUGUUUCAUAGUAUACUAUAUAAUAUAGUGCAAACCCAAGGGCAAAAGAGUGGAGACUUUCAUCAGUGCAGGAGACCUACAAUUUGUAAGCCAUACAAGAGUAAGUAGAAAGGUUGUUUCUGUGACUUGAACGCUGGUCACCCAAGUCUGAAAUGGCUCCGAUAAAGGUUAUAUUUUUUUUUCCUGUUCUCAGUUCCAUCAUCACCAUUAGCUAAUUUCCCCCCUUUUUGUUCUACUCUUUUCAAAGAACAGUGGCAUGCCAGUCAGUACGGCAUGGAUGCACAUUUUCACAAACAGUUGCCAACCCUAAUGCAACAGAAACUUAUAUAUCCUUGGCAUGUUCUUAGCUUCCAUCUCUUUGAUACUCUGUAUGGUUCUACAUAUGGUUUGAAAAACCACGUGGACCAAAAUGAACCAGACAACAAAUAUUGGCGUUUGCAGUGUCUCAGGUCUGGUCCAGGGGUUUUCAAGGCUGGUUAGUAUGCCAGCACGCAAUGUAUUGGCAUGUCGGUAUGCAAUGAGGCCCAAGCGCCUCAUGCGUAGACUAGGCAGCGUGCUUCAAUGAGGUGCUGCCUGGGCGAGCGCUCGAUUCAAAUAAGGCAACUGAACCAUACUUUUAAGUUUGGUUCGGUUCAACAGUAGUUAGUUACGUAUUUUCUUACCCUCAAAAGCCACCAUUCACGCCCGCACGACCCCAAGCCAACCCUACGCUGCUUCUGCCUCCACUGCCAACGCUUUUUGCCGCUGCCUCCACCAUAAACGCAGUAGACCAAGCCCUCCUCUAUUGCCGACGGAUGGGUCCGAUGCCCUAGCAAGAGCCCAUAGCUUCCUUCUGUCGUCGCUCCGUGUGCAAUUCCUUCCAUUGUCGAGGGAGAGGACCGCAGGUUCCUCCACCACCGACGGAUGCCCUUUAGAGCUUUCGCCAUUACCAUUGCUGUCGUUCACAAUGCUGCCACGGCUAUCUUAAACUAAAUAUCAGCCGUUGUCAGCUUCUCACCGCUAUUGUUGCCACUUUUCACUAUCGGUUUCCACUAUCAGUGACCCUUUUAUCCUCCUCUGUUGUUAAUAACAAAUAUUUUCUCUCCCUCUAACUACUGUUAACAGUAAGUAAUAUAUUGUUAACAGUAGAUUUUUAAUUUAAUAUCAUAUUUUUAUUUAAAUAAUUAUAUUUAUUAAUUAUAUUAUAUAUUUUUAUAUUUUUAUAUUUCAAAGCGUCUAGCACCUCAGGCUUUUUGGGACUUUGGCACCUAACGCUUUUUAAAUCACUGUCGGUAUGUGCCAACCACUCUAGCUAACAACCAGCAUGGGGUUCAAUAACAAAAUUUUAUAACAUGGUUCUACAAGCAUUAAAAAUUUCAUUCAUAAUGUAUUAGAGAUACACCAUUUUCAUCCUUGCUCACCAACUGCUUUGUGCUUUAGCCUAUUUAUAUUGCUAGAGGGCAUAAAAAAAAUACCUAAUUUGAUUAUUACAAGCCACAUAGUAGAAACAAGAAUCUUGAUGGGUACGGAAUGAUGAAAACCAUAGUCCCCUCAAAAGAGACUAAGAGGUCCAUAUAAUAAAUGGAUUUAAAAUACAUAUGAUAGAUGUCAAAUAAGGUCAUAUAAAACAUGUAAGUCAAAAAAUUAAAAAAAAUGAAGAUGAAUGAGACUAACCUGAUAUAUGUGCCCACGGCAUAGCCCACGAUCAACAGAUGACUUAUUCAAGAUCAUGGCAUCCUCCAUGUCAUAACUAAAAGAAAGAGGGGAAAUAGCUUAAGCACUAACCUACGAAUAAACAAAAUAUAAACAUUUAUUUAGUUAAAAGCUUUACCCUGUGUAAGCCAGGACAGCAACAAUUGCAUUUGUGCCUGUUGGGAAUUCAUCCAUGCAGUAUUUACUGUAUGAAGCAGUCCGAACAAUUGGUGAUUGAGGAGUCUACAAACAAAAUUCCAAGAGAAAAAAUAAAUGGUGAUACAUUAAAAAUAGAAUGAACAAAGGGAAAAGAAGGUAUUAUCCAAUAACUAACAGUUAAAAUAAACACAUAUGAUGUUGAUACCACAACAAAGUAUUGAGUAUAGUGUCGUAAGAAAUUUAGAAGGCUAAGAAAAAAUGACAGAUCAUCAUUAUAAUUUUUGAACAUAAUGAAUUGCGUGUUCUACUUGAAUUUCUCCAAUAUUCAGAAGCAUAGCAAGACUUGCAUCUCUGUAAUAUGCUGCCCAUAGAGCACAAGACAAAAAAGGCUCUUACAAAAGUUUUCUUUAUUUAAUGUUUUGUACCUGUGAGUUUGUGGACAGCUUAAUAUGCCAUUUAACUAGGAGAAAAUGGUUUCACAGAUACCUUCUACCCUACACACCAUGAACUUUUAAGCUACUUCAGUUUAUAGCCAUAUACCCUGAUAAGCACCAUGCACAUAACUCAACCACUAUAGAGCAGAGGAAUGUGCCAUCAAAUAAAAUUUCUAUGGUGUGAAAACAGUGGAACUAGGCUUCAGUCUGCUAUGCUUGAUAUUCUCAAGUAUGCUGACCAAAAAGGACAGAACCAAUUAGUUCUAACUAGGAUUAUGGCUCUUAGUGAAUAAUGCAGUUCCUCUUGUUGUCAGAUAUAACAUCAAUUUGAAGUAAAGUUAUAUGGACAAACCUGAAGAUGAUAUGACUUCAGAUCUGCACGAUAUUGCAGAGCUUGGGCAGAAAAACCCAUUGUCUGUUUUGCCAUCUGAAAAAGCAAGUACAGGGGACAUCAGGGUGAGUCAAAAAACAACUCAAUUUAAUGAUAGCUCACACGUCAGUAACAAGAGGACCUGGCACUGGUACAUGUUUCGGGGACUUUGAUUAUGAUCAGACCAGGGUGUAAGAUUGGCAACCACACUAAGUAUUCCGGUCGGGUGUAUUUCCUCAUGCGUCGCAGGAAAGAAUUCCCUUCUUCCACCAUUUCCACCAUCAGGACAUCUUAUUUCCAUAAAUGCCUAUGAAUGAAUAUUAUAAAUAUUUUAGUCCUCAUUGUACACAUCUAAAAUAAAGAGAACAUUUUCAGAAAUCUACAGAAACAAACAAUAACUUAGCUAUUUACCUGUUCAAAUGGCCCAAUAAGUUCAAUAUUCUUACUUCCAUCGGUCACUUGGAUAAGAUUUAUAACCGGCCGGAUAAAUCUGGAUGAAUUAGUAAACAUAUACAAGCCCGGAUAUGCCCCACCAAAACUUAAAGGUACGUAUCCAACCUCCAAAUCUUCAGGAAUCUGCAAUCACCAUGAUCAAAAUAUAAAAUGAUCCAAACAAGCAUAUAAGUAACAAAGCCAAGAAGACAGACCCCGCAAAUGCCAGACAGCUUUAGUCUCCGAAUAUGUGCAACUGCUUCCUCUAUUUUAACAGAAGAAAUAGAUCCUACAACACAUCCAUCUAAAAGAACAUGAAGAACUUCUGGUGGCCCAGCACGCUCAAGCUUAGGAAGCAAUGGUGUCAUCCCAAUCCCAACCAAAACAGAUAAUAUGGACAUUCUUAUCUUGAGAAAAUCUUUGACUCUUCCUUCUGAAUCAUAGAAAGAUGCAACACCUGAAGCACAAUUAUAGUGUUAAAUUACAACAAAAAAUGGUAUUUGAAAGAUUAAUUAUGUUUUUUCAAGAUCAACACAAAUAAAACAGUUAGUGGUAAGAAUUUAAAUCUAGGUCCAAUAUUGACUCAGGUAACAAGUCAGACCAGUGUUGUGCCUGUAUAUACAAACCCAUACGUCUUGUAUCAUGUGGUCCAAUACUGAUGAUCAGACUAGUAAAUACCAGUCGGUAUAAGUCUAUAGACCACUUCAACUGAUUUUUUUUUCUUGGUUAGUAGAACAAGCAUCAAAAUAAUGUUAACAUGACAUCCUACUACUGCUUCAGGUCAGAGCAUAAAGAGGAAAAUUGAAGGAUAGACAUCCAGUAGUCUGCUAAAGGAUAAUUGAGCCACAAACAAAUGGUAGAUCAAGAUACAAAUUUGAUGCUUAGAAACUUGACAUUGUAGAAGACAUGUAAUGUGGUUUAUGUCAUGAACUUACGACAAGCACAAGUCAUAUGGUUUAGCAAACCACAAGGCUCCCCAUCAGGUGUAUUAACGGGGCAAAGAAAACCCCAAGACCUACAAAUCGGACAACAAAAUAUGACAUAUAUAGAAAACAACUGCAACCAUCCAAAGACGAAAAAGUGAGAUAACAUACUCUGGUAGCAAUUUCCGUACACUAGUAGUGCGCAUUUUUGCAAAAGAAGCACCUCUAUGAACAGAACGAAAAUGUGAGAGAUAUCGAAAGAAGUUGAGUCUCUCUGCCUGAAUGCUCAUUCCUUCUCUCUACAAAUUGAAAACAAGAUACCAGUAUUUAAGAUAUAAAAAACCAAACAAAACGUAAAAAUUAUAGGAUUCAUCAAUUACCCACACAACCAAGAUAUCCCUGCAUAGACAAAAUAUGUUCACUGCAAUUUUUAACAUUCACUGUAUAAAAUAAGCCUAGAAGAUCAACAAUAUAAGCUAUUUAUUUAUUAAAAUAACUAAUAAAAAAAUAUAGAGAAAAAAAGAAGAUAUCCUUCUCUCUACAAAUUGAAAACAAGAUACCAGUAUUUAAGAUAUAAAAAACCAAACAAAACGUAAAAAUUAUAGGAUUCAUCAAUUACCCACACAACCAAGAUAUCCCUGCAUAGACAAAAUAUGUUCACUGCAAUUUUUAACAUUCACUGUAUAAAAUAAGCCUAGAAGAUCAACAAUAUAAGCUAUUUAUUUAUUAAAAUAACUAAUAAAAAAAUAUAGAGAAAAAAAGAAGAUUUGUAUAUGAUUAUUAUUGAUUUAGAGAAAGCCUACCAUAGAAUUCCUACAUACAUAUUUAUUAUUGUGGGUUUUCAAAAAGAAUUAUGUAUCCACUAAUUAAAUUGAUCCUACUAAGAAUAUGUAUGAUAAUAUAACUAUUAGUGUUAGAACUAUAGGGAGUGUAUUUAGUGAGUUUCUAUUAGUAUAAGAUUACAUCAAGGAUCUGCAUUAACUUCUUAUCUUUUUACAUUAAUAAUGGAUGAAUUUAUUAAUGUAUAGGACUCCCUGGUAUAUGUUAUUUGCUGAUGAUAUUGUUUUAGUCAAUGAGAGUCUAAACAGAUUUGAUUCUAAACACGAGUUAUUGAGGCAAUCUUUAAAAAUUAAAGUUAUUAUUAAACAGAACUAAAACUAAAAUGCAAUUUUAGUAAUACUAGGAAAAAACAAAGACAAAAAGAUAUAAUUAGGUUGGAUGGACAAGAAGUUCAAUUAGGUAAAAGUCUUGGUAUCUUGGAUCAAUUAGUCAACAAAACAAAGAUUGACAAAAAUAUUAUUCAUAAAGUUAAAACAGGAUGAUUAAAAAAAUGAUGAGAUGCAUCAGGAGGAUCAUCAAAUACCUUUAAGAUUAAAAGAAUAAUUUUAUAAAAUAAUUGUUAGACCAACAUGAUUUAUAAAUUGGAGUGUUGAACAGUUAAGAAAUAACAUAUACAAAAAUAUGUUGUUGAAAUAAGAAUAUUGAGGUGGAUGUGUGAAGUUACUAGAAAAGAUAGGAAAAGAUAUGUUUUUAUUCGUGAACAAUUACGUUUUGUUUCGAUAAGGGAUAAAAUGAGAGGAUCGUUUAGGAUGGUAUAGACAUAUGCUUAGGAAAUCUAUAAAUGCAAUAGUCAAAAGAUAUAAAAUGAUUGGGUGGUCUAAUGAGAGAGAGAGGAAGACCUAAAAAGAAUUUAAUAAAAAUUAUAAAUAAAAAUUUGAAUACUCUUAACUUAAUUAAACAUAUGACUUUUAUCAUCUUAAUGGCAAUAAAAGACUCAUAUAGUCGAUCCGAAAUAGUUGAGACUUACGACUUUGUUGUUGUUGUACUACCGAAUAAAGUAUGUACUAAAAAAAGAAAACAUCCAAUGAGAAAAAAAAUCAUUACUAGAUGUCAAAUACUUCACAUUUAUUACUAUACUAAUUAAAAAAGGAAACCUGAACAAGAUUAGUUUCUAUGUGACUAAACCACAUCCCUUGAUAAUUCUUCUUUUCCCAAAUAAUUUGACAGUCUUUUAAUCUAAACAAACAAUUAUCAACAGAAUAGUAUAUCAACUCACCACCUUUUAUAGUCUAUCAUAAUACCAUUUGCAUUUGAAAGUGAUCUAUAUGACUGAUGACCUCAAUGGCUCAACCUAUAGAAAUUUCUAUUUUCUAGAAUCAAGAUGACACAAUUGAUGGCACACAGCUCCUAAAAGGUGAAGAUGAAAGAGCCAUAAUGACUUUUUUUUUUGCAUAAAUGUAUGUACUUAGUCUAAUGUCCUUAAGAUAAAAGCAAUGACAAAAAACAAGUCACAUGACCACCAGGUCUCAUCUCACAAUAGAAUUUACAAUACCAAAAUUAACAUGAAAUGUCAAACAAAACAAGAUUUAACAUAAAAAAUGGUGUUUAGCAAUGAUGGCCAAAAGUAAGCACCUGAGGCAAAUCUAAACCGGAUGCUGUAUUUAGCCUUCCGAUUUUUAACAUACUUUCAAUAGCCCUGCCAAUAGUUGCAGAGCUACGACUAAAGAACUUCUUAACCUGUGUUACUGGUUUGUAAAUAUAAAAUGUUAGCAUCAAAGCAUAAAGUCUGAUCACAUAGAGACAGGGCAUAAGUUCUACCUAGUCAAAAGCUCUGUGAAGAAAACUGUAUCAAUAUCCUUGCGAAAUUUAAAUAGUUCAAUGAAGCAGACGUAUAGAAUCUAGAAUUAAAGAAUGUUGGACAUAACAUACUGAGAACCAAAAGUCAAAAGAUAAAGUCCAGUAAAGCAGAUUCAAGAAAAUACAAAGGGAUCAAGCUCUCAAAAUAUUUGACUCCAAAACAGAAGGAACAAGAAAUUCCAAGGACAAAGCUCAAAAAUUUCUACAGUGACAAAGAAAUUAUUAAUAUGGUAAUUGAAAAUUUACAAGAAUUAUAACACAUUUUAUUUUAUUUUUCAUCCUAAAAUUGUGCUAAUUAAAAAUUGGUUUUCUUAGGCAAAGAAUAGUUGGCACAAAAAACUCAGAGGACAAACGAAUGCAGCCAUCUUACAAGAAAAGGUUUAAUAACCAAUCUGAUACCAGUUACAACAACCUAUCAAACAAGUUCAUUACCUGUGCCAGCAAUCAAAUUCCUUUUUUUCUUCCUUACUUUUGCUAUUUGGAUGCGUUUCCUAAUUUGAACUAGCAUCAAAUUGGAGAACUAAGUCCUAAAAUAUUGAAUCAUACCAUGUCUCUACACUCAGAAAAGCUACUGGCCCACUCAAGUGCCUUGAUCUAAAAAAGUUAAUUUUUAUCAUAACCAUAGCAUUUAAGACCACAUAAUAAAAUCACGAGGAUAAUAUUUCAAUUUGAAACAGAAUAGUAGAUGAAGAGUUAAGAAUACUAAACAUAAUUACUAAAUUAUAUAUGAUCAAGUACCAAAAAUAGAAUGGCAUUCCUUAUAAACCUAAAACCACAUUAGUGGCAUGGGACUUAAAUGGGCCCAUAUCAUGUGAUGUUGGUAAAACUGAUAGAGUGAUAGUAUUGUUAAAUAGGCCAGGCACAAUGGAUGAGUCCAUAUGUAAUAUUCUCUAUUAGAUGGUGUAUAUGGACAAAGCCAGAAAUCUCGCUAGAGGCACUAAUCUAGUUCUGGAACCACCUGCGCAAAACAGAGAAUUGACCUAUAUUAAAUUGUAAUAGUCAGUACCAGUUUAUAUUGGACUUAUAUGUCUUGGUUGAUAUACCACAGCCUACUUGGAUCCAAGAAGUGCCACAUAAUACGAGUUUUAUUAAAAAAUUAAUUACAAUAAACACCAUACAAGAUGCUCAAACAUGCACUCGAACUUGACAUGUAAUGUGCAACAAACAAUGCACUAACCACUAGGAUGUCUCAACAUAAGCAAACAAUGCACUAAACAUAAUACAAGUCAACAUUAUGUGGCACAUUAUGGAAGUUUCUCAAGUCAACAUGUGUCAUACGUAGGUACCGCUACCAUACUAAUCCAUAUAUAUGAAAAGUAUAAAUGUGUCUAAAACAUAGCAACAUUCAAGUGUAAGAUCUCUAAUUACCGUUCAAGUACAUCUGUAACACCUUAACCUAUAAGUUACCAUGAGAAACUCCUAAACAUUUCUUUUGAGGAGCCAAAUCUAAGUGUGCAGGUGUACUCUGAGAGAAAUGGUAAUGACUUGGAUACUGUCUCAUAUGAUUACCCAUAUACAAAGUGAGAGUAUUUGAGAUAACACAGUUUCCAUCGUUCAGAAUAUCCUUGUGGAUUCUGAAUGCUCCCUCACCAUAACCUCCACCCUAAAAGAUCUACGGCCAUUAUUGCUUCACGAGAAACAACACAUUUUGGCUGUUAACCCAACCCCAUUUGCAUUAGACCGCAUGAUGGCACACAUUUGUUUUUAUAUCAUAACCACUACACCCAAAAAUGAAAACAUGAAAAAAUGUAGAUUUUUCCCUCAAAAUGAGUUCCCACAAAUUUCUUUUUAGAAGUAUAUAAUCACUUAUAUACAAUCUCAAGUCAUAGUCCAUAUUUGAUGUGUAAAUAUUGGGCCACUGGCGUAUGCAGAAUAGAUAAGAAUGUCAUAAUACAUGCAUGAGUACAACAAGAUGACCACCCAUGUGCAAAAUAUUCUGUUUCCGAAUGCAAGUUGAACUUGCUGACCAAAUAAAUGAUAAAACAUCCAAAAAUAACAUUAUUUAGCAUGAAUAGGAAAAUAAGCAUUGUUUCAAAUGGCAUGAAUAUUCAAAAAGUAUGUUUGUUGGAUUAUAGUUUACAAUGUAAAAGAGGCAAAUUGAAUAAAUCAAAGCAAAAUUAUGUUUCUAACAUACGAUUCUUGAUAUCGAUGUUUUUUUCCUUCUUUGCUGUCUCAUCAAGAAGUUGACGUUUUGACUUCUUCAACCAAUCUUGAAGUCUCUCCUGCACAUAAUGAUUACAUAAAGUACUAUUUGUACAUUCAAAGUACAAUUAUUGGUAAUCCACAUGAUGUGGCUCAAAAAUUAAGUUGUAUUAUCAAUUACAACUCAACUAGGACAUCAAUGUCAAACAAAUGGAGACAUUUAUGAAGCAAUUAAAAAAAGCUAAAUUUUGAAAACAAUAGUUUUGUAAUCAGUUUCAUUGAGACAACCUGUUGUCAUUCUACAAUCUACAACGAAACAAGAGCUUGUUUGUCUAAGCUAAGACUAUAUAUGUUGCUUUACUGUCAGGUAUGCAAUACCGUACCGUACCGAUAUUUCGAGGUUGCCUCGGUAUGGUAUGGUACGAUACCGGUAUACCGAGCAAUACACCAAGGCGUACCGAGCGGUACACCCUAGUGUACCAAACAAUUUUAUAUAUUUUCUUCAUUACUAUAGCACUGUUACAGUAUAACACUGUAGCACUAUAGCACUGCUACGGUAUAAUACUGCAGCACUAUAGCGGUACCAGACGAUCCGCAUACCAGUAUGCCAUCAGACCGGUACGUAUUGCCCGUACUGGGCGGUACCAUUCGGUACUGCAUACCAUGCUUUACUGUAUAUGUUGCUUUGACGUAGCUCCUAUUUAGAUGUACAAAUUUCUUCCAAUUGUUGUCGAUGAAUUACUAUUAAAUUGUUACUUGCAACAACUUGCAUAAGCACAUGUAAUCUACCUAGUAAUACAUGAAUCAAUCAUAUGAGACAAAGCUACUCUUUCAUCCCAUGCUUAUGAAGAAAGCCAGUUUUCAUUUGGAUCUUCCACGUGAAGAGUGAAUUAUAUCAGUAUCAGCAUAUAGACCUAUCAGUAAACAGCUAAGCAUCAGCUAAGUCGAGAAGAAAGUACUAAUAAAGUACUAAGUUACUAACUUAAUGGCAUUUUGCUUGAUGAAAAAAGCUCCAACUUAACGGCAUCAAGACAUGAAUAAAGUACUAAUAGAUGAUAAUUCACAUAGAAACUUAAAUCCAUAAGCAGCAAACCUUAAGAUAAAUGGUUAUCAAAUGCCCAGGCAACAGAAUCUCUUGAUUUUGCAAUGCAUCAGGAUUAUCAGGUGCAGCAGUUUGGUCCACAAGUGCAUAAAGUUUCUGCAGCAGAAAUCUAAGCAAGCACGGGAUUAGGCAAAAUACUUGUUCAUACUGUUUGGUAAGAAAAAUCCAGAACAAGAGGAAGCACACUGGACAAUAUAGGAUGACAGUAAGAGGUAUGAACCAACAUUAGUAAAUUGAACUUGUCAUGGUUGCUUGCAAGAUGAACAAAGAUAUAGUCUCUAAGAACAGCUUCUGCGACCUACAGGAAAUAGUAUAGGCAUUUAACCAAAUUAGUUUAUACUAGCAAGGCCAAAAAAUAAAGACAAAAAUAAAAGAUAACUAGCAUAAAGAAUGGUGUGGAUGGUAGCAAUAUAGUUGAACUUACAGUUGUAUGACUUUCAGUUUCGAAUCCAUUCAUGGCAGGUCGGAAGUACUCUCCUACAAAGAACAUGCACAAAUUAUUUAAAAGCACAAACCUGAACAAAUGCUCUAAGAAUCAAAGCAUACCGAUAUGCUUUAAGCACUGAGAGCGAGUCCAAAGGGACAAAUCUCUGACUUCAUCAAGAAUUAUUUGAGCUCUUUCACCAAUAAGUUGAGUGGCAACUGCACCUUUUUCUCUUUGGUAUCGAUCAUUAUAACAGCAUGUCAAGCUCACAAAGAUUUCAUGAUCAUUUGUGUCAAUGAGAGCCUGUCAAAAACCAACUUACUAUGUUGUAGUGGAACUAUUUAAGGAAGCAAAGAAAAAAAUGAGAAUUUGCAUUAAAAAAAUGGGGGGAUAAAGAAGACAAUUUCAAUUUAAAUCUGGGUUUUUAAUUUCGAAUGAUACUGCCCGUACCGGACGGUACAUACCGGAUGGUACGUACCGGUCCGCUUGCAGACCAAUACACGGACUCUCUGCUACCGGGCAGUAUUGUCGAUUUGGGCUGUUUCCGCCCCGUUACCACGAGAAAUCGAACGAUGACGGUCGAUUUUGACCAUCGCCGCCUACUAUGGGGCGAUAUUAGCCGAGGGAGAAAGAAGGGAGAAGAAAAGGGAGAACCUAGAGAUCCGGCGCCACUCUCCCUCGACGAUCUCAAUCCGUCGUCAGACGCCACAGAUGAGAUGUCGCCUCCGCCUCGUCUGAGGCGACGAGGCCUCAGUGUCGUCGGUGACUUCUCCUCAUCCACGAGAGAAGAAGCCUCGACGAUGUUAUACGCGCAAGGAAGUUAUCGCCGAGGCUUCGCAAGGAGAAGAAACGAGACGUCGUAGCCCUUUUUUUAAUUUUUUAACUUAUAUAUAUACAUACAUAUAUAUAUAUAUAUAUAUAUAUAUAUAUAUAUAUAUAUAUACAUACAUAUAUAUAUAUAUGUGUAUGUAUGUAUAUAUAUAUCGAGCGAUAUGCCAAAGCGUAUCACUCGAUAUACUCGUACCAUACCAAACCAAGCUAAUUUCGAUACUUCGGUAUAGUACAAAAUUGUGAACCUUUCAUCUAACAAUAAAGUAUGAGAUAAGGCAUAAGCAACAAUAAAGUAUAAGACAGCAAUCACCUUCAUGAUACACAUGGAAAUGUCAACUAGCAACACUGUCAUACUUGCAUGAGAAGUAGGUAGCCAAGAAAAACCAAGAUAAAGGGGACUACAACAUGUACAUGCCCAUCCCAACAGACUCUAUGAGCACUCAAAUGUAUUAAUUUAAUGUAUGUUUGAAUUUCAAUAUGAUCUAAUCAGGGUAGAUAUUAUUCCACCCAGACGAGCCCUGAACUUCAGAUGACUUUGCACUUAUUAACGAAUAUGUGUCUAAUUAUCUGGCUACAUAAGAUUAGUAUCGACAUAGUGUUUAAUUCAUAGAGUUACAAUGAUAGUUUAACUGAUCUAUUAAAAAGUAAAACCAAAUGAGGGCAUUCCUGCAACAGUUAUAUAAGAUCAUACUUAAGGAUCAGACUGUUCUUUAUAAGGAUAGUAACAAUUUGGUUGUAUUUUUCAAUGCUUGUCAUUGCAUUCCUUUUUUUAUUUCUUUUUCCUUUUCAAGAUACCUAAAGAUGCCUCCACAGUCUUGUCAUAUCCAUAUCAGUUGCAAUGACCUCCUGAUCUGUACUCAAGGUGAUGAAAAUAAAGCAAAAGCUAAACUCCCUGAAUCACUUUCCCUGCUAUCACAUAAAACUUUCAGAGAAAAACUUCCAACCAUUCAUUACUUGUAGAUAACUCCAUCUUUCUUAUGUCUUAAAAGUAAAUAUGUUGAGUUACAAGACAAUACAAUUUAUAUAUGCGAUUAAAGUCUAUGGUAGCUCACCUUCAGAACAAUCCCAACAGGAAGCAAGAAUUCCCUUCCUCUUAUCCUAAAAUAUCAAAUAAAAUAAAUUAGUAUCAACAGUCCAAAUUUGGGUAAAUUAACUUAAACAAUUACAUAUAAAUUAUUACCAAAAUCCAAGUCUUGCACUUCCAUUUUCAAGGUAAUACAACUUAAGUGUAACAGAAGAUUGAUCUUCUCGAACACAUCUACAAGACAUAAGAGUAUAGUGAAUGAUAAUUUAUAUCCUACAAAACCUUGUUCCUCCAUAAAAAGAGGAUUCCUGCAUGCCAAAGAUCAAUUUCUCAUAAUACCAAGACCAAAAUGGCAACUGUUCACCUUGUUCAAUGAGAGUUCAAUUUUCAGCAAGCCACAGUGCAUGAUAUUGCAGUGAAUGUCAGAAGAACUGAAAGAUGUGAUUGUGCCUCAAGCAAUGAUAUGAAGAUAAUAACAACAAACCACUGUUCCCAACUAUUUUUUAAACUACAAGGAUCAUUUGCCACCAUUAAACUCCAUCAGAGCAAAGCCAAAUAAAACAACAAUCAACAAAUUAGUCCAUAACGUUUCUAGCAAAAUAUAUUUUUCAGUUCCUCCACGGCAUUUGGUUUCACUGAUCAAAUAAAUAAAACAUGUCUUUCAAGCUCAUAAAUAAAUAAUUUAAUAAAUUCAGACCAUCUUAAAUGAUUACACCAUUUCAUCCAAAUAUAUCUAUAAUUAUUUCCAUGAAUGAAAUUCUUUUUGUUUUAUUUUUUCCAGUAAUUUCAAUUUAUUCAUGCUGUAUCACUAUCUCUAGAUAUGUUGGUUCAGAAAGUUUUCACCAUUACAACAUUAUUAAAACUUAAUCAAGCUACACCAAGACCUUAGUUCAAGCCACAUCAGUGACUUUAUUUAUUCUGAACUUCUGCCUAUUUCCAUACAUAAAUUAUAUCACAUUCAUCACCAGAUCAACAUAAUUUUAAGAUAUAACUAGUGUUUUUGUAAUAGUCUUGCAUAAUUCCUGAUAUCAAUUUCAUGAUCAAAAUCUAGGUAGUAUGCUGCAAUCCUUUGUCUUCACAAUAUCUCGCUUCAAUUUGUGUGUAAAUUCAAGGUCUCAAUUUCAUAAACAAAUAUGAGUUACAUUUCCAGUCAAUGUUUUCAAGUAUCUGUAUAACAGGUGGUUUUCAGGUUAUUUUCAAGUAUGCUAUAAUAAGUUGGUUCAGAAGUGGCGAUAAGAAUCAAAGUCUCAAGCAAUAAUGUUGUCACGCUUUCAAUCGCCCAAUGAUCUCGCCAUAAAUGUUAUCUUCUAAGAGCAUGCAAGAAAAGUUAUUGUUAAAGAAGAUUGAUAUCUAUAUUUAUUAAUGAGAACAUAAGAACUUUGCAGAAUUUAAAUAUCAUAUGAAACAAUAUACAUGAACCAAAAGAAUCCUGAUCAUAAGGAUAUCAAAAAAUGGCAAAAUCGUUUAAGAGCACUUGUUACUGAUUCAAAUAAAUUUUGUGGAAAGCAUUUGCAGAAGAGCAAUGUGAAGAUGCAUGUGAACACAAUGGAAUGAAAACCCAAAGUUAGCACCUCAUAACGACAGCUUUAUCACCGUAUCCAGGUCCUCGAUUACGAAAUGAUUUGCGCACCAUGCUCAUUGGCUGAAACACAAAAGGAACAAUCAUACAUACGCAAUCUACAAAAAACAGAUACGAGUGCAGAGUAAAUCACACAAUUCCUAACACACUCAUUUUUUUUCUUAAUUACAGAAAGAACUUGAAGGAUUAGACUGAUUCUCAUAACAUCUAAGAGUUUGUUAACAAAUGCCUCACGUAGUUUUGCUUUUGUAUGAUUAAAAGUCGCACAAGACGCUCCAGUCCAUUGCAAAUGAAAUACCUACGGAGUACCAAAAAACAUUUCAGAAAUUGUUCAGCAAACAAGAAAAAAAAAACGGAUCAAGUGAAGUCAUAGCUAUUUCACUACAGGAAUAUGGUAAGAUACCAAAGAAAAGAUCACAUUCUGCUGACCAACAGAUCAAAUAUUAAUUGUUAAGUCUGCAAAGCAUAAUGAAACUAGUGGGCAGUUAAUUUCUAAACAAAGUGACUAAGAAAGAAGCAUCGAAUUUUGAUUCUACACAUACAUUCAGUAUCAACAUAGAAAGCAUUGCUCUACGUGUCAAAUCCGACAAAAAGACUACUAUGCAUAAUCUUGGAUACCUAUAAGCAAGUGGCCUAAAAAUUGCUCAAGCCUAGGUUAAUGAUAAUAAACAUCAGGGUUUUCAAUUUCGAUGUGUACCGCCCAAUACAUAUCAGUCCGAGAGGAUACCGGUACGCAAACCGCCCUCUACCGGGCAAUACCAAUAUUUUGACUAGCACCGAGACGUACCGACCGGUACCACCCCGGAUUUCAAUCGUUACUGAGGUGUACCAAUCGAUACGUCCUAGCAUGGUAGGUGAGAUAUAUUUUGAAGUUCUAGGGUGUACUGUCGGUACACCCUAAGUGCACAUACCGUACCGAGCAGAGCUUGGUACGCCGGUACGAACUGAUAUUCAAAACCCUAAUAAGAAUACCCAAAACUAUAUACUAUCACAAUCAUCCUCCCAUGCCCAAUAUGGGGUUAAUUAUUCCCUGGUAAAAGAUGUGUAUCUUAUGGUGGUAGAUACGCUUUGAUAUCAAUUGUCAUGAUCCAACUCAAUAGAACUACCGACCCAAUAAUUUGAAGACCCAAGACUGUGUGGAGCCAAAAUUGCAUAAACCCAACAUUAGUAGGCAUAUCUUGAUGUCUAUAUUAUCAUAAUCUCCCCCACUUUGAGGUGCCACCAACAAAAGCUCAUUUAUAGAGGAUCGCACAGUGUCAGACCAUUCAAAAGUUCAUAAUCACUAAGCAAGAAACUGGAAAUCUAACCGCUAGAAUUAGAAAUUUCAAUGAUUCAGUGCACAUUCCUUUCUCAACACCAAAAGGGUUUCUUAAUAAGCCAUUUAAGUAACAAUGCAAUGAAAUUAUGAAAUAUACCUACCCACCCAUUUCAGUUGCCUCCUCCUUGUGGGCAACCAGUUUUUGUGGGUCAGCACCUCGUAAGUGGCAGAGUUUCGACUGCAAUCACAAAUACAUGUCGAUGUAACACUUAAUAACAUACAAGAUCAUUUUUUUAUAAGAUAUAUUGCCCAAAAAUUUAAAUAACAGACAGAAAGGCUGACAGAAGUAAACUAUGAUUAGGGAGAACCUUAAUAUGGUAUUGUAGUCAACUUAGGUAUUGUGAUUAUAUAAUUAAAAUAUAUACUCAUUUUUUUAUUUUUUUAAUAUAUCCUCAUUUCACUACUUUGAUAUAGGUAUCAAUAAAACCUUCAGAGAUGAGAAGAGAGAUGCAGAAUUUCACAACUGAUAUGACUCUCCAGAUGCAACACAUCCUGAAUCAUGCUUCAUUUCCUUCUGAUUGAUUUGAGAAUGGACAAAAUACAUGAAUAUUACACCAAUGUUGUUCAUUAAGGAUUAAAGCAUCAAGUGCAACUUAUAUAUCAAUCUUAAGGUAUAUGAACUUGUAUAUCAUGUUCCAGGUGAUGCAUAUGUGUCAGGUGAAGAUAAGUUCUUCGUGCAUGGCAUGACCAGUACACAAUAGCAAGCACACUAUAACAAGUGAAUGAACAAAAUAUACCCACUAAAAGUUUCAUACAAGCAGUGGUCCCAAUAUGGGUAUUUUAGUGCUUUUUGGUCCUUCCUGCUUAUGUAUGCUGAAAUGCAACAAAACAUCCCUAUUUCCGCUCAAAGGAAUUUUCUCAAAAUUGAAGAAUUUUAGGCUGCAAUAGUCCAUAAGUAUUAACCUUCAUUAGAUUCAUAAUUUCCUCCAAUCCACCUCAAGCUAAGUUAACAAUAUAUGUUUUACUGGGUGGACUGAAAAGUCCAUAAAUUAAAUUACAAAACACUAACAAUGUAAUCUAGUCAUUUUUUGUUAUCUUUAUAGAUGUGCAAGACAAUUGCUACAGCUGAAAAAUCAUAACUUCCAAUUUAUUGACUAGGCUUAUAUGUGUGUGUACACACAACACGAGGAACCAACGAAUCGCCAGUAAAUAUGAGAAUAGCCGUGUCUCAGAGAAAGAAAUCAUAAAUUCCAAUUUCUUGACUAAGCUUAUAUGUGUGCGUGCAUGCUAUACCAGAAACCAAGGAAUUCUCAGUAAAUAUGAGAAUAGCUGUGUCGCAGAGAGAAAUUACACCAUACCUUUAACAUUAUUGGCAAAUGUCCAAAAUUGAUGUUUUCUCUGACAACAACUCCUUCGUCAUACUGAAAACAGACAAGCGCCCUGAAUUCUCCUUUAUAAGAUAUCCUAGCCUGCCUACACUGCUUUCAUCCAAGAGGCGGGGAUUAACUCACAAAUCAAUAAAGACACCAACGAUCAAAUCUUGAACAUAAAAUCACCCACCUCGUGGGGAAACAAGGGUUCGCUCAGGCGCCCGUCCCUCAUCGGAGGAAGUAACUGCGGCUUCUCCAAGGAAAGUAUCGAAACACGUCAAGGAAAAACCAAUUCAUAGAACACGAUAAUUGGCGAAAAUUAACAAGAAACAAGCAAACGAAUAAAUUGAGGAUUUUAGAAAGGAUAUCUCUGAGCUUGAUUCCGGUGUGAGGGUCCGAGAUCUCGAUGGGCCGUAUGGAGAGGAAAGCCUUCUCCAAUCCUUCAUCGAGAAAGUAAUCGAACGACUCGAUGUGGGGACGGAAGAGCUCCUGCAGCGCCUGGAAGUCGGACUUCGACGUGGAUCCCAUGGCCGACACCUACGCUCCCCGCCUCUCUUCUGCGCCAAAAUUGGAUCUUUAUACCAAAGGCGGCUGCCUGCGACAACGGAGGCAGGUUCGUCCAAACCGGAGCUCGACGAGGAAGAGAUGGAGAGAGGCGCCGGGGAAGAGGGGUGUGUACAUGCAGAGGAAGAGGUUGGGGUUUAGACGGGACUGGCAGCGAGAAAGCCCAACCCUAGCGGGGUUUUAUUACCGUUGAAACGGGUUCGGGUUCGGGUUCGGGUUCGGAUCCGCGACGAAGGGACACGGUUGACACCUCCGCAUGUGAAGCAAAGAAGGAUCCGAGAACACGUGGAACCUAAUGAUUGGAUGGCUUAGAUCCCUCUCCGCUAGUUAUAUACAAUAGAGUUCAGAUUAGGUUUAUAAUGGAUAUUAGUACUAAUAAUUUUCUUAUGUUCCUCUGCUUCUCAUACUUCUUUUUUUUUCUGUAUUUUGCAUUGAUAAUUAAUAUACAUUUUUCUCUUUUUUUCUGUGCAAUUGCAUAAACUUUGUGUUUUUACAUGUUUAUUAGUUUGGCUUUUUCCAAUAUAUACAAAAAAUGGAGAGUUCUUAUUUUCUGAUCUUGCAUAUAAACAUUGGAAUUUGGCAAGAUGACAGAAAAUUAUUAUCUGUUGAUUUGGUGCAUUAAUAGCUACCAUUAAAACACUAAUAUUGAGACAUAAUGUGCAAUUCAAGGCGUUGCCACAACCAGAUCACAGAGAAGGAAACUAGCAGAAGAGGUUCUCUUCUGCUGCACAUCUUCUACUAGUUUUUACUCAAUCUGAUCCUUUCCCGCAACCGGAAUCAAGCCCAGCGGCGACGGUGAACGCCGGCGGAAGGCAGGCUUCAUCUCUACCUCAGCCUGCAUCUGAUGCUUGUUGAUCUUCUCAUGCUCUUGCUUGAUCCUCCAGACUUGGAUGUGAACUAAGACAUGGUGUGCCCGCUGCUCUCCUCUACUCUUCUGAUGCACGUUCUCCAUUGCUAGAGAAGUGAAACCAAAUCCUGACCCUGUUUCUCGAAAUCACAUUCCAUUUAUACCAGAGGGGGUGAGGGGAGGGUAUGAAGUUUGAACAUGGCUAAGAAGUAGGAAACUUGUCGUUUGACCAACACUUCUGAAACGUUGGAGACUGGAACAUGGUCUUCGUCCAUGAACAGAGUUCUAGAACCUGUCUUUCUUGGAAAACUAGAACAGCGUAUCUACAAGGACAAACAUUUGAAGUAUACAAGAGAAGAGCUAAGGAGAAUUUUAUUCUCCCAUGCAAUAGACAAGUAAAUGCACAAACUUGACGUCUAAACCCCUCCAACACAUCAUCUACAUCUUGAAGACUAUGAUCUGUUCCAUAUAUUACCACGAGUUUGUGCUGCUAUUAUAAGCUUUGGAAUGCCUUCAGGGAGGAAUUCCAAGCAGGUUCUGACUUAUGUUGGUCAACAUGGAGUGUUUGAAUUCCAAAAACGCCACCAUGGACUGUGGCACUAAUGCUUUUGUUUAUGGUAGAGAACACUGUUAAAUUCUUCAAACAUUUGAUACACCAAAGACUCCAAUCAGUUGCAUGGAAGAAAAGCAUACAUGUCAAUUGUUUUUUACCCCAUAAGUUACUAAAAAAGAGCAGAGACAAAGGAAGCUCUGCCUCAAAAGACAAACAAGAACACAGAAGACAACAUAUGUCAUGGAUUUCUGACAAACUUUUCACUGAUGACAAUGAUGCAGCAGAUUGUAACAACAAGUCUUCAACAUAAGCAUCCAUAUUUAUCAUUUUUAAUCUAUUGCAAGAUCCAAAGAAAAAAAAAAGUAUCAGAACUAUCAACAACACUCAAACCUGAUAUAAUUGGAUCACUUUUCAAGUUGCAACACUUGAUGUUUUACAGCAUGUCUUAUGAGUUGCAGAUAGCAGUUCCAAUCACCAUGCAUCAGAUGUUGUUCCACUUCUUGCAGGAACACAUCCUCCACAAUUGUUGAAUUUGGAUGAGAUAGCAGCCCAAAACGCCAUCACUAGAUUGUGUUUGAUGAGAUAAAAAUAAAUGGCUAGAAUAUAAAAAUAAACUUCUUGGUCUACAAGCAUCUACCUAAUCUAAAUAACAUGGAUAAUUGAAGCAUCAUAUUUUUUUAACACUGUUGAUCAUGCUCUUAUGCUGACUAACACAAGCAUAUGAUGAUACAUAAUUUGACUUUGGCAACAAGUACUGAUCCAUAUCAAAAUAUCUGUUGUAGCCAUAACAUUUCGCACAUGAUCUAUCAAACUCAUGAUAUUAUUUCUCUGCAUUCUCAUACUUCUUUUUGUUCCAGAAAGAAGAGAAUAUGAGAAACAAGAGUGACAACAAAGAACAAAAACAAAAGAAGACCAGAACAUCACAACCACAACAGAGACUUCCAAGUCAACUUUCAUAAAGCUUGUCUGAUGCACACCACCAGCCUCAUCUUGUGAACACACACUGUUUCCAGUUUGUCUCCAAGCAGAAUCCAAUUUGUUGUUCUACAACUGGGUCUCUGAAGCCUAUCAUCUUUGUCCAAGUUGUGCAUUCUAUAAUGGUUCCCAUGUCACUCACAAAAACACUGUGUCAGCAAGAACACACCUAAGUUUUGGCUAUGCUUGCAUCUUUGUCAUUGUUGUUUUUUUCUGUGGAUUAGUUGGUACUUGGGCCAUUCAUCAUUUAACAUCAUAUUUAAGUGGUUUAGUCUAUGCAUAGGUGAUUCACUACAUAUUAUUUGACCUUCCAAAGUCAUCAUGAUUGAAUGAUUGUGCAUGGCCUUCAUAAGUACUUGGAUUCUCCAAAAUGCAAAUGGAAAUAUAUGUUGGCACAAAGUACAUUAUACCAGAGCUUAUCAAUUACAGAACAACUGCCUAGGAAUGGAUUGAUUAAUUAGGAUCAAUAAUUAGCUAGAAUUAUGUUCCAAGAUUUCAAAUUAGGAUAUACUCUUACAUGCUAAUAAAGCUUAAAUUACUAAAAUCCUUAUAGGAGCAAAGAUUAGAUGAAGAUGACCUUAAGUCAAUCUACAUUACUGAUGUGAAUUUGACUGGAUGGAUGGUCAGGAUCAUCUGAGAGCAGGGAUGCGCCCCAUGCUCUCAGACCAGUGAAGUUUUGAGGAUGCCAAUAUGUGCUUCCUCCUCAGUCCACCACUCCUACCUUCUCUCUCAGAGAACAUUCACCUCGCUGUUGUUCUUGUUCUCAGAACCACAUCCCAACCCAUCUCAUUCCCUCUCUCACCUCUCUUCAUAUAUAACCCCACUAUGGCCUUUCUUCUCUCUUCACCCUUCCCCUUCAUACACUUUCUCUCACUCCUUUGCAUAAGAACAUUUGGACUAACGAGAAGACACACACACACACACACACACAUAGAAAGCGAUGUCUGAACUCUUGCUCCUCCUUGUAUUCUCUUCUCUUGCGUCCCUGACGACGUCGGUCGCCGACGACUACACUGGCUUCGUCUAUGCCGGGUGCUCGCAGCUCAAGUACACCCCCGACUCGCCCUACCAACUCAACGUCGAGUCCCUACUGUCUUCCAUCGCCAACGCCGCCACCUUCUCCUCCUACGCCAACUACACCUCCGCCUCAGCCGCCGCCUCCUCCCCGGUCUACGGCCUCUUCCAGUGCCGCGGUGACCUCUCUUCCUCCGACUGCAAUUCCUGCGUCCGCUUCGCGCUGUCCCAGCUCUCCGCCUUCUGCCCCUUCACCGCCGGCGCCGCCGUCCAGCUCAACGGAUGCUUCCUCCGCUACGGCAACGACUCCUUCGUCGGCAAGCCCGACACCAGCGUCCUCCGCAAGAAUUGCGGGCCUGUCGCCGGCGGCGGAGGGUACAACUCGGACGUGCUCGGCAUGCGCGACGCCGCGCUCGCCAGCCUGGCGUCGGGCUUCACCGGUGGGAGCUACAGGGUCGGCGCCGCCGGCUCCGUACAGGCGAUGGCGCAGUGCGUCGGGGACCAGGGCGCGAAGCAGUGCAACGACUGCGUGGCGGCUGCGGUGGCGCAGCUCAAGGCCGCCUGUCCGUUCGCCGUCGCCGGCGAUGCUUACCUCGGCAAGUGCUACGCCAAAUACUGGUCCAGUGGAGUCUACCAUUCCGAUACUAACGAUCAUGGUAACCGCUCCUUCCUCUGAUCACCGACGGUGCUCCUACUCUCUGCUUUCUUGUGCUGUUUUUGGAAUUUAGUCUACUAAAUUAUAUACUUGUAAUGGUCUUUUGAUGUGAUAUUGUGAUGAAAAUUGACCAUAAAUCUGCUUGUUUGGUAUAGUUUGUGACUUAAGCUUAUCAACUUUUGUUGCAUAGUCUCUGUCUUGCUUGUAGUUAUUGUAAUUAGUUUUUGGUUAGUAUUUUUUAUGUAGCAAUGAGAUCAUACUAUGACUAUCUUCUUCCAUAAAAUGGUUCUAUUUUCACUAGCAAACAUCCUAGUGGAGAAUCCAUGAUCUUGUGUUCUAUCAAUAAUUUGCUUGGAGGGUUCAAAUUGAUCCAUCACAAUUAAUAAGUAGGCCAGAAAGUAACAUGUGUGCUAUACAGAUGCAUCUUAGUUAUCUACUCUUGAUUUAGUCAUUAGAUUGUAUAUAUUGAUUUAGUUAUACUUGGUGGAAAUUAAUUAAGUCUUCAUCAAUUUAUGCAACUGCAGUAUUCAUUGCUCUCUUUGAUAGGACAGUGUUUGCCACUCUAAGUAGUCCUCAUGCCUUCCAAAAGGGAAGUUGGACCAUAUAGAUUGGCAUCCUCUGACAAAUCAACUUCAGAUCACAUCAUCAUUCAAUUAUUGAAGUCCUUUGAAGGAGUCUCUACUAAUUGUAUAGAGUUCUAUUAACUUCAUUAACAUUAAUUUGUCCAUUGAUUCUCUCAUUUCAGAGUUUACACACUGUGCAUCCUAACAUGAUUUGCCCUGAGUUGGUGUUUCAUUUGUUCAAAGUUAGACUGAUGAACCAUAAAAGUUGGUUGGUAGCAGUUUGAUCAAUUCAAAGCAUGGAUGGGUCCACACAAGAGUUUCUACAUUGGAAGACCACACAUUUGUUCUAAUCUAAUCCCUUUCUCCCUCUACAUAUCAAGGAUUUGUAGCCCCUGCUCCACCUUUAUAAAUCCUAACAGUGACAAUGUUUCUGCAAUAAUUCAUUAUAUUGCUGGACAUUGCUGGUUUAGUGGCCACGAAAACCAUAUUUCUGUAAAUUUUAGUCUCUGAAACUUCUGAAUGGAGGUUUUAGAACCAUCCAAAUUUAUCUUGAAAUGGUAGGAAUCCUUGUUUAAGAUUCUAAUUCAACUCUAUCUCUAUAUAAAACAUACUAUAGCUUACAUAUAAUGACAACAAAAGAUAAAGAGCAAGAUAAAACAUAAAAAAAAGAAGGCUUUAUUGCACAAGUGUACAUAAAAGUUACUUGAUAAAAACAAUAAAUGAGUACAGCCAAAAUUUAGUAUUGUUGAAAUUUGUGUAUCUUAAGAUCUUAAAAUUUGGAGUUGAAAAAUUAAAUAAGUAUGUUACAAAUUGAAUGAGGUAUAUCAUCUUUUAUCUGUUACCUUCACAAUGUCUCCUGGAAACCUUUUCCAAAUAGUUUCUCAUUUCCAAUGCAAUUAACCUUUUCUUCAGGUGAUCAGGUUGGGAAAACAGUGGCAAUCAUCAUUGGGCUCAUUGUAGGAGUUGCACUCAUAAUAUUCUUGGCUGCCUUCCUCAGAAAAGCUGGAAAUUCUGGUCACUCUCAUCCUCCUGCUCAAUCUGAUCUAUAUAUGCAUCUUGUAUCCAUAUUAUCAUCCAGUUCAAAUCCCCUAACAUAUGUUGUUUUGGUCCAUUUGCAGGUAAAGACUAAGUUGAAGUGGAGGUAAUUGCUUUUGGCACCUUUCUCCAAGUUUUACCUUCUUUAUUUUGAUGUUUCUUUUCAGUAAAUAAUGUUGGGUUUCCUUGCAUGAGUAAAGUUGACAAAACAGACAGAAGGAGAAGAUUCCAUGUAACAAAUAAUCUACAUUGUAGUUUGCAUUUUCUAGUGAGUUAUUCUUAUCUAUGAGGUGGAUCUUUUCUUGAGCAUGUUGCUCUUGUCUCUUGAGUUGGUGGUAUGUGGUCUGUGAUAGAGAUCAGGGUAUCAUGGUAGGUGACACAGAUUCAUGUUCUUGGGAUUGCUUGAAUCUUAAUCAAAGCAAAUGGGAUAUCCUUUUGCUUACCAACUCAAUCAUUUCAACCAACUCAACUCAAUUGGCUGUUGAUUGGGAUUGAUUAAUGCAAAGAUUGCUUAUAUAAUAAUUCUUUUCUAUUCAUACAUUAGGAGUUACUACUGAUCAACCUCUGUUUUAUCAUUGUUCAUAAAUUGUUAUUGUCAUUUUUAAUAGUAUACAAAUAUUUGAAGAAGUCUUUUUUACCUAUGUAAUGUAUUCGACAAACCGUCAUAUCAAUUUUCAAUUAAGAAAUAAUAAUGCCAAUAAUAAAAGUAGUCUACUGAAAGAAUAGAAAGAUUUUUUUAACCUUCAAUUAUAUCUUUAAACCAAAAUAAUGAUAUUAUAUUCCAUAUGUUUGGUUAAGAUCAAGUGUGAUAUUAUGAUAUAGCUUGUGCAUUUCUUUGUGUCCACCAAAUUAAGAUUUAUACCGAUCGAUCAUAAUUGACUAAAUUUAUUUCUCUAAUCCAUAAACUAAGUGGGAGAUAUUUGUUAUGAUAUAUUUUAAAAUUGGGCAUUAUAUUUCCAUCAAAUUUUUUUAAUAAUUUUUCUUCGAUACUUAAGUUAGCGAGAGGAGGGUUUUAAAGAAUUAAAAUAGCUCGAGCACUAUAAAAUAGGCUAUAGAUUUUUUCUUUAUAUAUGAGUUAAAAACGGUAUUCAUAUUUCCUUGCAUUGUUAACGACAUAAUGCUGAGUGCAUUAAAAGAAUCCCAUAUAUAUACAUAUAUUUAUGUAUUUAUUGGUGAAUGAUGUUUUUGCUUACUGCUCACACACACACUCUCUCUCUCUCUCUCACUCUCUCUCUUUCACGGACACAACCAAGCAUGCACGCGAAUGCACAUAAACAACAUGAAAGCUAAGUUAAAGUUUGAUCUGCUGGCCAACAAAUUGAACUGUUGAUGGGACCUGAUUAAUGCAUUCAUGAAAUCCCACCAACAUCUUCCGGCUAUAGUAUUUACAGCUAACGUGGUGGGUGCUGCUGCCAGUACUGGUUAGCCCUAUCUUCCUACCUUCAAUUAGAACCGAAAAGAAGUGCAUGGGUCGUCAUCUCACUGUCGAACGAAUCCUGUACAAAUCGAAUCAGUAAGCCUGAUCAAUAAUGUUAAGAGAACUAGUUGCAGAUGACUACUGAACUGCUUGUCUUGGGUGCAAAUCCACAUGCAUUUACUUCUUGAUCAUUUAGACUUUUCUCCUUGACCUUGUCUCUCCUCCUCCUGCACUUGUUUCUCCAGUUCAUGUGGAGGACAAGAGGAGAGAUUUAUGUAGAGUCCAAGAGGUGGCAUCUCAAUCUCAAGUUCAUGGCUGGAGUUGGUUCUGCUGUCAACUUAAAGGAGAUCAUGGACAACAUGAAUGGUAGGAACAACAAGAUAUAGAGAGGCUAAUGUGGGUGGGUGUGCAGAUAACUCCUCACCACAGCAAUAAUCCACUAAAAUAAAACAUAUAUAGAGUUGUGUUUGGCAGCAAGAGUAUAGCUGGUACUCAGCACAGAAAAGAAUAAGGAAACUUUCAUUGAUUUUGUGGCUCAGGACUUGACAUAUUUCUAUCAUCUGACAAAGAAAUUGAAGCUUAACAUAAUGAAGACAUAAACUUGGAUGGAACAUAAGCUAGAGAACUUUAAGUGUAAAAAAUGGUUGGAUAUAUUAGACAUUGUCUUUCUAGUGUUAGUUUCAUUAACAAGGUUAUGAAUUUGUUGCAUCAACAUCUAGCUAGGGAGACAAUGAACACAGAAAAUAGACUUAAUUGCACAUAUCUUACAAAAGUUGUAUUCUUCUAUGUCUUUGUGGCUUACAAUCUACUUUUCAUGGACUUUCAUCUUUUUUUUUUCUUCAUAUUUAAAAUUAUCAUAACAAAUAAAUUGAGGGAUGAAAGCUUAAUCUUGUCUCUAUAAAAUCCAAUAGCUAUCAAAAAAUGGCUUGAAUAUAAAUAUAUAUAACUAGCAUAUCCCAUAUAUGACACUUAAUAAAGGCUUUUGGAUGUUAAUUAGACUCCAAAUAGGACUCUAAUGGUCUCCUAAAGUUGCCUUAAAAAUUAGUGAUGAAGAUAUAUCUUAACCAAGAUGUCUCUUGGGCUUAAUUUGGAUCAUAGCUUAGACAUGAAUCUCUUGGGCUUAGGAAGUAAUAUUUUAGUUAUCUAUAUCAAAUAUAUAAAACAAAUCUUCAUUGCAAAUACACUAUUUUACUAAAAGAACUCUCCUAUAUUUUCAAUAUUUUUUAAUUAACUAUAAUGUUUGAAGGACUGACUUAUUAGGUGUAGUAAGUUGACUUGUGAAAGAAUGAAUUUGCAUCAAAGUAGUUCUCAUCCAUCAAGUUCAUCUUGUCCCCAUGAUGAUGAUCCAAAUCCUUGAGAAAUAUUUAUUAGGUAUAGUAACUUGAUACUGGCUUUGACUUAGAGAUACGACUUGAGACCUUAUUCAUACAAAUAAUUUAAACUGUAUCUAUGAGCUUUCCUUAUAAUUAAAUAGAAUAAAUAUCUUCUAAACCUAAGAUACUAGAAAAGUAAAUCUACUAAUGAUGAUGAUGAUUGUAGAUACCUCAAAGGUUAAAGGUUUAGACCAACCAUUAUGACUUGCAUCAAUCCUGCAAUGCAAGAAACUAUCAUGCAGUAAAAAAAAUCAUAUGGCGAAGCCCCUAACACUGCCUUGUUCAAUGAACUCAAACUUGUCUUUUAUACACAAAUUCUUGUAAUCUCUCUCUCUCUCUCUCUCUCUCUCUCUCUCUCGGGCAAUUUUAGGUGUCUCUAUUCUAAUGUCAAUUCAUGCAGGCUCACCACUACAUAUGGUAGACUAUUUCUCUGUUAUUAUUCUUAAGAAACAUGUCCACCAUAAUUGUUCUAAAGAAAUUUUCUUCUUCCAAGUAUCUCUCCAUAUCCAUCCAGCCAUGCCAAUCUGCCAAAAGUUAAGAAGCUUUCUUCACCGUCUCCUAUCAUGCUCAUUGCGUGCACUUUCGGCAAAAGCAAAAAGUGCAAAAGGAAGAUGAAGAAAAGGCUCUCUUUAUGUGACCAAAAAGAAGAACAAGGAUGAUUUCUUGAUGCAGUUUGAAGUCCUGAAGAAUUAUCUCCAUGAUUUAAGGAACAAUAGUCACUACUUUGUUCAGUAAAAUGUGAAUUAUCAUCCAAUUUAAGUUGUAUUUGGAUCAACAUUUUCACCUGAUAACUCAAAUAUCGACCCAUUCCCAUUUUUCUAGGGACAAUGAACCUAAUAUGUUUUAGUCAAUCGAAUUAUGCAAAUUGAUAUAAUAUUUCGAUUUUGUGAGAUAAUAUAUUCAUCAGUAUAUACAUUUCAAAUUUAUAUAAAAUUUUAUUUUAAAAUUUACUAGAAUUUUUUUUUCUUUUUAAAAUUAAUAGGAUUUUAAUAACAUUAAGCGGAAUUCAAUAUUCAAUAUUAAAAUCUCCACAAUAAUAACAAUUUUUAAUUUCAAUAUAUAUUUGUAAAUUUUUUGAUAAGUUAUGUUGAUGCUUAUCAGCUAAAUCUAAAAAUUUCUGAUGAAAUAAUUUUUUUUUGUAAUUAUAAAUAAGCACAAGUAAAAGAAAACAAAAGGAAAUAAUAUAUUAAAAUCCCAAUUGAUUGCUCCUCCGAAUCUAUUUCUACCCCUAACUUCCCGGGGAACGCGGGCCGGCGACUGGGACCCACAUGAAAAGCCUUCAUAGUACCAAUCACAAAGUAGGUUCGUCGAUGGGUAAUCGAUGAUGUGGUACAAAAUAUAUCUGCCGCCCGGGACACCCAGAACCACAUCCCACGUCUUCCAAGCCUAGCCAUGCCUGACACGUGUCAAACUCAGGAUAAGUCUUCCGAGGCGUUCCCUGGAAUCGACGGCCUGAUCUUACCGAUAGGAAAGCGCGGGACUUACGUGGACCUUCUCGCCGGGUCCCGCACAAUGGAACCUCUCCCGACCAAUUAAUUCAAAUUAAUUCGUUGUUUUAGCUUCCUAUGCCCUUUCUUCUGUGUUCCUCUUAUUUAAUGUAAGAUGCCGGCCCUUAACUCGCUCGCCUGCUUCCGACGGAGCGUAGAAGUCGUCGUCGAGUUCGAGGAGGAGAAGGGGAGGAAGAAGACUACUUUAUGGCUUGAUGAGCUUCAAUAGACUUGACCAUCCAAUGAUGGCGUCCGGUCGCCGCUCGAUGGGCUCGCUGUUGCGUCUCUUCCUUUUCUUCUCUUUCUUCUGCUCGUUGUUCGGCGGCGGAGCGCCCGACGAUCUCGCCUCCGACCGCGCCGCGCUCAUCGCCUUCUCCGCGGCCGUCUCCGGCGUCACUCGGCGGUGGAACGUCUCCGACCCCUCACCGUGCGCCUGGUACGGCGUCACCUGCGCCUCCAACCGCGUCACGGAACUCCGCCUCCCCGGUUCGUACCUCCUCGGUCGGAUCCCGUCCGGCACCCUCGCCAAUCUAACCGCGCUCCGCGCGCUCAGCCUCCGCUACAACCUCCUCUCCGGCAGCCUCCCACCGGACUUCGCCGCCCUCGCCAACCUCCGAUAUCUCUACCUGCAGAACAACCGCCUCUCCGGCGGUAUCCCCGCCGCCGUAUUCUCUCUCCGCGAGCUCGUCCGCCUGAACCUCGCGGGUAACUCCCUCGACGGAGGAAUCCCUGUGGCUUUCAACAACCUCACUGGCCUUUCGACGCUGCUCCUCGACCACAACCGGCUCUCCGGCGCGAUCCCCGACCUCCGGCUUCUGGGUCUCCUCCAGUUCAAUGUGUCCUUCAACCAGCUCAACGGGUCCAUCCCCGCAAGGCUCCGCGGUUUGCCCGCGAGCUCCUUCGAAGGAAACUCCCUCUGUGGUCGGCCCCUCGCCCCCUGUCUCGGCGAGGGUUCGCCCUCGCCGGCGCCGUCCCCGUGGAUCGCCAGCAACAAUGUCGAUAGCAGCGGGAAAAAGAAGCUCUCCGCCGGCGCGAUCGCGGGUAUCGCCAUUGGCUCCGCCAUCGGCUUCUUGGUUCUCGUCCUCCUCCUGGUCCUCUGCUGCCGAAAGCGGGAAAAGGACGAGGCUGGACCAAAGGCGGGGGAAAUGAUGCAGCCAGAGGCGGAGAUGGCUUUGAGGGGCAAGCGAGAGGCGGCGGAUAAUGUGGCUGGGCCACCUCAGGUGGCGGCCUUACCUGCGGCGGUGGCUGGAGGGGCGAGUGGGAGCGCUCGGAAGCUGGUGUUCAUCGGGAAGGUUCAGGGGAUAUACGACCUGGAUGACCUGCUGCGGGCAUCGGCGGAGGUGCUCGGGAAAGGGACGGCCGGGACGACAUACAAGGCGAUGCUGGAGAUGGGGAUGGUGGUAACAGUAAAGCGCCUCAGGGACGUCAACGUCCCUGAGAAGGAGUUCCGCGAGAGGAUGGAGGCCAUCGGCGCCAUGGACCACCCCAACUUGGUGGCCCUCCAAGCUUACUACCACAGCAAGGAUGAGAAGCUUUUGGUCCAUGAACUCGUGCCAAACGGAAGCCUCUCCUCCAUCCUUCACGGUGAGCCCUUUCUUCUUCCUGGGUAUUGCAUUGCAUGUCCUCGAACAGUGUCGGUGUUCCUUAUACCGAAUUCUUCUAAUGUGUUCGAAGAAUUGUCAAGCUAAGUACUCAUGCUCUCAAUUCAUCUUCCAUGGCAGGAAGUAAAGUAUCGGGUCGCACCCCUCUCGACUGGGAGACGAGGCUGGAGAUUGCUCUUGGAGCAGCACGGGGCAUCGAGUUCAUACACCUGCAGGGCUCUGGUCUCACUCAUGGCAACAUUAAGUCCUCCAACAUCAUUCUCUCGAAAUCGAACGAGGCUCGCGUCUCCGACUUCGGCUUGAGCAGCCUGGGCUCCACCCCGAUGCCCAAUCAACGCGCCGCCAGCUACCGCGCCCCGGAGGUCACGGACGUCCGGAAGGUCUCCCAAAAGGCCGAUGUUUACAGCUUCGGCGUGCUUCUCAUGGAGCUGCUCACAGGCAAGCCUCCGACGCAGGCGCUCCACAACGAAGACGGCGUCGACCUGCCCAGGUGGGUCCAAUCGGUCGUUAGGGAGAAAUGGAGCUCAGAGGUAUUUGACCAUGAACUGCUGAGGCAUCAGAACGUGGAGGAAAUGAUGCAGCUGCUGCAGCUGGCCAUUGACUGUGCCGUGCAGUUCCCAGAAAACCGGCCAUCGAUGUCGGAGGUUGUAGCUCGGAUCGAAGGGAUCCGCAGCAAUUCUAGCAUGACAAAUCAGCAGCAAGGGGGCACCGCCUUUGGCGAUUGAUCGAAUCAUCUGUUCCUAUCAUCUUCAAGGCAUCUUCUUCCAUGGAUGAACCAAAAUUGGAUUGUUUUUGUGUUUGUCCUGGGAGUAAGUCGAUGGUUAUUUUAUUUUCCUUCCAUUCCUUUUGAGUUGGAACUGUUCUUGUGGUUCUUCUUCAUCCUAAAUCUCCUGUUAUUAUUUACAUUUGUUAUUUUUUGGAGGGUUGUUUGAUGCUGAGAAUGAGUCCCUGUCCUUGAGGACUCUUCAUGUUGUUUCAUCUUGAGGUAAUUUAACUUUAUUGUAUGGUAGAAGUGAUGCUAGGAUUGAUGCUUCUUGAUCAUUGUUGUAAUUACAUUCUAUGUAUGUUUCAAUCAAAUAGUGGAAGAUUCUGUAGCCUCAUUACGGCUUUGCUAACCUCUCCAUUCUCAUAGGUUAACAGCUAACCAUUGAAGUAGUUUUCUUGUGGGGCUGCAUGAAAUUUCUGUACUUUGGUGACCACCAACUGUAUGUUAUCUUGUACUGUAUUAUAUGGACACCAAUAUAGCUGCCUUCAGUUCAGUGUUGACCAGACCAAAAUCUAUGUCACUAAUUCUCCAAGAUCUGCUGGCAUUUUGGUCAGCGUAGCAGCAGCAAGAACAAGGCUUCAUUCAAACUUAGAUGAAUCUUCUUCAGGUCUUCUACAGGUUUAGCAAAGUAAUACAGGAAUCAGGUCAGACUCUCUUCACUUGAGUUAGGUGGCUUCUGGUAAUCAGAUUUCUCCUCAUAAAACAACUCAAUUCAUGAGUGGGAGUUGAGAAUUUGGACAAAAGGUGACACUUUCUUGAGUUAAAUCUUCAACAAGGGUUUAUUGUUUAUGCUGCACUUGCAUUUCCAUUAUUUGGAAAGGUUGGUCAUACACAGCUAGCAUUGAGUUUUAUUAGAUAUAAUGAGUACUAGUUUAAAUUGAUUUCAUUAUAGAAUUAUUACAUUCUAAAUCAUUCUUAAUGCAUUUCCUUAUUGAAAUAGAAUCAUAAUAUUUAAUUUCUUUGCAUCUCAUUAUAUGUAUAUAGAGAUGGGCUCAUGUUUUCUUCUGGAAUUGGUACUGGAUAUUGGUGAAAUAAGUUUUUCCUUCUUUUAGUAGCAAUACAAAAUUCUAUGCAUCAGAAUUAAAGAAAGUUUAUGCAUCAUAAUUUGGUCAUAUCAUAAAAAGAAUUAUUAACAGCACCUCAAUAACUACAACAUCAUAAAAAUGAUUGUUGAUUGAAUAUUUGGCAAGAUAGAUGAGCAAAAUAUUCUUAUGAUUUAUUGAAUUAGAUGUGCUUUAUAAAUUGUGAUCUUUUUGCAGAGAGAUUAACAGUACAUCAAUUCUUGCAGUUCCUCCCUUUCUUUGCUGCCAUCACAUUUUUAAGGGAACACAGAAGAUAUCAUAUCACAAGAAACAGCCCAAAAAGAGUGAUUUGCAUGUUGCCAAUUCUUGCUCUAAAAUAUGAAAUCUGCAUUCAAACAGCUGCAAUAUGAGUCAUAAAGAAACCAUUUUUUAAUCUUGAAGAAUAUUUCAGGAAUAGAAAAAAGUUCAAAUUCCCAAACAAAAAAGUAGAGCAUUGUGGAGUUGACGAAGGUUGGUAGUGCACACCAUCUGUUCCAGUAGUUCACACAGAUGCAAACUGGAUGAAAUAAUAGCAAAAAAUAAUUUUUUUCUGUAAUUAAAAGAAUUAAAGUUCUUGAGCUGUUCCACUUGUUCCUCGGAGAGGCUGGCAAGCGUGACAUGACAUAUUCGAAGGGAAAUGUAGGACCAUAUCAUUAAUUAUUGAUGAUGAGAAGUUGUACUGUACAGCACGUAGGAAUUCUAUAUAGUUCUUAUGCAGUAGUUUCUUAGUCCUUUUCAUGCUUAACUCCAUUUUAUAUAACAUUUUCUAAGCCACUUAGUUUCUUUUGUCAACUCCUCCAAGCAAAGUUGUUCUUCCCAUAAGCUUGAUACUUUAUCAGCCCUAUUAAUUCAAUUUUUUUUCCCCCAUGACAUCCCUUCCCUCUGUUGAGAAUUUUAUUUUUGUAAAUCUCAAUUUUAUCCUUUUAUUUUAUUUUAUUUUUUAAAAUUUAAAAUCGAUUCGAAUUAAUGAACCCAAAGGCUUUCCUACUCUUUUGUGUGUCAUCUUUCUUAGCUGCUUUCAUUGUCUCCUCCUCAUUCUUUUCCUUAUUUUUCUUGUUUUAUUUCUCAUUAAGAAAAAAAGAGAUGGAGAAGUAAUGGCGGAACAAAAGAGUGAAAAAAGAAGAAAAAAGAGAGGAUCGAACUCUUAUAUUAAAUCUGAUUUAAUAUAAGAUCAUCGAGAGAUAAUGAGAGACAAGCACUAUUUUUAUUAUUCCGAAAGGAUAUCUUGAAUAAAUUAUUAAUAGAGGUGCAUCAUAAAAAUUAAUUAAUGAAGAUUUUAUGAUAAAUUACCCUUUUCCUUUUCCUCUAAUGACAAAGAUGACAAGUGAUGUUUCUCACAUUUUGCAUUUGGCAAAACUUCUUUAGCAUACAUGUAUAACAUAAAGCUAUGCAUCAAAGAAAUCAUAUAUAAACACUAAUUAUCCAUAAACUAGCAUAUAUUAUUUCUUUUGAGGUGAGUGGUCCACAAUAUCCCACCAACGAAAAUAUUCGUGUUCCCAACCUAGCAUAUAUUAUUUGAUUCAUUAUUCUUUUAGUUAAUAUAACGAAAAAGAAAGGAUCCAAAAUCAUAUAUAGCAAUUUCUCCCACUUAAUUCAUUGGAAACCUUUACCAGUAACUAUAACUUACAUACGAGGUUAUAUCUAAUGUCAUAUUAUACAAAUUGACACAUCUCAUGAGUUCAGUAAUGAUAUUGGUAUAUGUCAUGCUUCAUGAAGAACCAAAUUAAUACAGAUACUCUCAUGAAUAUGAGAUUUACAUUGGAUUAAUAAGUUGUUUGUCAAUAAUAGUCAAUAGAAAUCAAUAUGAAAUAAGUCUCGGGCAAGAUCGUAAGCUUUAGUCGGAGGGCUCGUCAAUGAUAGUCGAUAUCGUGGUGACUGGAUAAUUACAUAUUUCCUAUAUAGUUGGUUAUCUUUAAUGUUAUAGUCUCUAUACUUUAAAAAAUUAUAUUGACAUCCUAUAGUUCAAAAGUAAAAUAUCUAUGUCCAUUUAUUUUAAUAAUAUUAGUUUUACUAACGAAAACAUAAAAAUAAAGGAUAAAAAAAUAAUUUUAAUGUUCGAUGAUGAAUAAUGAUGACGUCAUUGGUGUUGAUGCUGGUGUCAGUGUUGACAGUAGAGUGGUAUGCGACGAGUGGCAAUGAGAUCGACAACAUGCUACUCGUGGUGGUGGGUGGUGUCACGAUGAGAGUAAACAUUAUCGUCGUCGGAGGUGGUCUAACAACCACGUUUGCGUUGAUACCGGUGACAUUGUCGUUUGCUACCAAAUAUUAAAAAUAUAUUUUUAUCUUUUAUUUUAAUAUUUUUAUUUAUAAAACUAAUGUCUCUAGGAUAAAUAAAUUUAGAUAUUUUAUUUUUUUUAAUUAUAGGAAUGUCAAUGUAAUUUUUUAAAAUAUAAUGAGAUAGCUAAAUAUAAAAUGUAAUAUGUAAUUAGCCCCAUGGUAACCUUGGACUGCUCCGGGGACUUCAGGAUCAUCUUGGAGGUUGUGGCAGCUUCUGCCCACCAUCGAGACGGUGACUCGAGGUCGUGAUCUAUUUGAAGGCUAACGUUUGUAGUGAGACUGUGGAGACCAACAGGUCGACAGCGAACCUGAUGCUACUUGGCGACGGAAGAGAUGCCACCGUCGUGACCGGCAGCAAGAAUGUGCACGACGGCAUCACAACAACCCUCAGGUCUGCAACCUUCGGUAAGUCACCUACGUUUCUCUUGUCACCACUGAGGCUAAUUCUACGUAAACGGAGGAUUUCAUGCAACUCCUCCAUGAACUUCGAAUCAAGUCACCACUUUUGGUGUUAGAGAUGGAAUUGGAGUACUGUUGAUACUUUUCUUUCGGCUGUAAUCUUGGUGUUGACUGUAGAGUCCACUAACAUGUUUUUGAGACAAAAUAAGAUGGUUGAGGUUAGUCCAUCAAAUCAUGCACAUGGUUGGCAUUGUUUGAAUGACUUCUCCAGCCUCUCCAAUCACUACGACGUCCCCAUGCAAGCAUUCAUCUUUGACUGCCUCGUUCUCGAUCUCCUCCGCCUUGUGCUUGCAGUCAUCACCGGCAACGUCAUGACGUUCGAGAACACAGCCGGACCGGAGAAAAACCAAGCCAAGGGCUACCAAGCCACAGUCAUCUACCGCUGCGGAUUCAAGGGCUACCAAGGCACUCACUAUGUGCACUCGCAGCGGCAGCUCAUCUACGGCACCGUCGACUUCAUCUUCGGCGACGCGGUAGCCGCUCUCCAGAGCUGCAACAUCUUCGUCCGUGAUCGUGCAGGGACGGGCCGACCCCAACACAAUAACACGGGCAUAUCGAUCCACUGCUGCAUCGUCGUCAUCCCCGCCGUCGACCUCAAACCGGUGCAGGAACGCCUUCAAGACCUACCUCGGCCAUGGCGGAAGUAUUCGAGGACCGUCUUCAUGAAGACGUCGUUGAGCAGCCUGGCUGAUCCGCCGGGUGGCUCCAGUGGAACGGAAGCUUUGCACUGAACACACUACAACUACGGGGAGCAUAUGAACACAGGCACCGGUGCCGACACCAGCAACAGUGUGAAGUGGCCACGGUAUCACGUUAUAAGGAGAGCGUCGGACGCUUGGGAGCUCACUGUCGGCAACUUCUUGGGCGGUGACGAAUGGAUUCCGGUCACUGGGAUCCUGCUCUUUGACAAUAAUCUUGGAGAAGGCUAGUAAACGUUGCUUAAUGUCGUGGGACUAAUUAAUAUCACUCAAAAUUACCAUAUAUCUUGAUUGGACAUUAAUAAUUUAAGCUAUCAUAUCAUGAACAUCUAAUAUAUAUGUUGAAGAUGUAAUAUACUCACAUAAAUCAUAGUUAUGAGAAACGAGCCACUCAUUGACUUGAACUAAACCUCGAGUCACUGGUUCAACCAAUUGCUCAAUCAGCAAAGUCACAUGUUUCAUUAAUUAAAAAAACAAAUUAUAAAUAACAUAAUAGAAAUAUUUAAAACAAUAUUGAACACAAAAAACUAUGGAAAAUUUGGACAACCUUAAUCACUAAAAAACAUACAAAGUAGAUAGAAAAAGUAAAACAUAAAGAUUGUUAUGCCUAACAAUAUAAAAAUACCAAUAUUCAAGAACGAGAAUAUUAACUAAUAAGGUUAAACAAACAUUGACUUUCAAUUAUCAACUAAUUAAUUUAAAACUAACUAGACACUUCUUAUGACUUAUUAAAUGAAAUAAAUUCUUAAGAACUUUUUAAGUAUUAACUGCAAACAUGCAUCCAGAAUACAUAAUGUAUGUAGAAUGUAGUCAAUGAAGAGUAGAUUAUACAUCAGAUGCAACAAGAUCACAAACAAAACUCAAAUUGAGAUUAUCCAUUGCAUGCAGCAAGUUCAACAAAAGUCAACUUGAAGAGGCAAAAAAUAAAUGCAUGAAAGCAAUUUUAUACCCUAGAAUUUAACCUCUAAAUAACUAAAAGAGCAAACCUGAAAUCAACUCACAAAUGUCCAAAACAAUCCUGUGAAAUAUCUUAGCUAAUAGAUGAGGAUCCAAACUUCCAAAGGUUGUAGAUGAAAUGAAGAAUCAUUCAGAAACGAGAAACGAUAUUAGUGUUGACAACAUCAAAACACCCCAAAUGAUCACACUCAUCUUCACCAAAGUGCUUCUUAUACUUAGAGCAGGAAAAACUCCUAGAAAGUAUUUUCUUGUUACCUAUGAUUUCUCAAUCCAAUCCAAGUCUAAAAGUGGCAUCGGUGUUACAGUUGUGGGUCUGAUCAUAAACCAGAUGUCAAGAUACUUCCAAUAAAUCACACAACAGUAAACAUCAAUUGAAAAAUGCUACAUAAAACAGAAGGAAUUAAGUCAAUUAUAACAGGAAUCAUAUUUAAAAUCUCUUCCAAUCUCUGGAACAAAACCAAAAUUAGAAAAAAAAAAAAACACACACACACACAAUUACUAUACCUCUGUUCUUUUCUCGUCAUCUUGUUUUUGUGUUCUUUGCCCAUACUUUGUUCUCUCCUUUUGGCCAUGAGAUUAGGGCAACAACGACUGAAGAAAGAAGCCAAUGAAGAUCUGAACCCACCCCAUUGUAUCCAUUUCUCAUGGACAGCAGAAGUGGGUUUGGUUCGACAUAUUGUACUCUCAUUGAGGGUGUUCCAGUUAUAUUAUGCUUUGUAAUAAAAUUGGACCGGCCUUCCUUGACAUAGCCUGUUCAUGCGAGUUCAUGGUAUACUGAAUCAACUCAAAGCCAUUUUUAAGAAAAGACAGUCUGAUAAGUAGUUUGGACUGGUCAGCAGUCCCAUUACCCCUUUUUUCGGUCAGAUAACUGGUCUAAUCCGAUUUUUGACAACCAUGGUCUAAAUACUCUGAUGCGUGCAAAACAAGUGACAUUAAACAUGAUCCAUGCAUUAGAAUGCAAAGAUCUCUUUUAUUCUGUGGAGUGUUUGAUUACAAAAAGGACAAGCUUGAAAUUUGUAACAGUACAUCCAUCCACCACAGGUGAAUGUUGAUAAGCUUUAAUGAUGCUUCAAUAAUGACUGUCAAAGGACAAAAACUGAUGAACUACUUGUAUACUGUUUGUGGCAAUAAAGAGGCCAUUACUUAGCCCCUUGCUUUGCUGUUCAGUACGUCCUUGUACACAGGAAGAAUCUAAUAACUACUUGAAACAGAAGGUGUAGUUGUGGAAUGAAUGCAAUAACUUGUAGAUGAUACCAAUGAAAAUUCCAAAAAGAUGAUAUCAGUGAAAAUUCCAAAACAUUUAGACAAUGGAAUAUUGAGAAUGAUUUCAUAACAACCGUUGUAACAAACAGAAGCCAACUCUAUAUAAUUUUUUAACUUUGGGUGUUAUCACAACUAGAAAUGCUUCAAAUUUGGGUAUGCAGCUACUCAUCCCAAAGUCAAACAUUUCUUCUGGUUACUGUGGUUGGAUAAAUUGCACAGACAAGGUUGAAAAAUAAAAGAACUAUAUAUUACAGAUGAUUGGGACAUCCUUCUGAUGAUUGAGAUUACUUUUUCUUCAUUUGUCCUUUCACAAAAGUAUGCUGUCAGAUGCUGUUCAGCAACAAAAGAUGGUUAGUGCUAUCCUGAGUACUACCAUCUGGAAAAACUUGUCAAAAUAAAAGCUUUUAUAAUCUCCCAUGAACAUGAAAGAUGAACCAGCAGAAGCUAAAACAAUUGACGGACGAAAAGCCAUUAAGCACAUUCGAUCAAAGUGAAGACUACAUAACCGAUAUACUCUCACCAAAAUCUAUAAACAAAAUAGAACAGGUAUGGGUUCUAAAGAAUGCAUAUAUAUACCUGAUGGCCUUUCUGAAUAAACCAACAUAAACCUUGCAUAUCCUAAGAGGCAUAUGACUGAAGAAAUCAAACUUGACUGUGAAAGUACCCAUUCAGAAAGGAUGGUUAUGAACACACUGUUUUUGGUGUCUUCUUUGAGAGUUGAGAUACUGGUAUUUGGACAAGCCACCAAAAGCAACUAUUUCCUAUUUAAGAGAUUUAAAUUUUGGAAGACAUCAAAGAAAAAGUUAAGUAGUCAAACUAUGAACUCGAUACCUUUAAUUUUUACUGGUUUUUUAUGUUCUUUGGUCUGCCGAAACUGAACUAAACAGAUGUUGAUGAAGAAAAAACAAAACUGUGCUAAAAAUAGCACUAAUUAUGAUUCGAGAAUAAAAAUUCACCGAGCUAUAAAGUCUGGGGUAUAAGUAACCAUUUGUAAUCUGUAAUCAUCCUUAAAGCUGAAGUCAAUAAUUCAUCAUGUUCAAUUGACCUAUGUGAUAGUUUAUUUCACAUUGGGACUCAAGUAAUGCAACAUAUGGUCCUGGACUGAUGCAUUAAAUUGUCCAAACGAGUGCCAAUCAAGGUUCGCAAUUUCGGUCUAUAUCAGUGUAUCGAGCCUUGGUCUAUACGGUAUGUACCGAGGCAUACCGAUGGUACGCCAGGGCGUACUAAGCGGUAUGCCUAAAAUAAUUGAAAACACUAAUACAUAUUGUAUUAGUGUUUUUAACUAUUUUAGCCUAAAAGGUCGGUAACGGUUGAAAUCGACCAGUACCACUCGGUACAGAUUGGUAACAGUUGAAAUUCUAACAGUUACUACCCGAUACAGCCCCGUAUCGCUCGAUGCGGGGCCAAAAAUUUGGUACCACCCGAUAGUGAGCGGUCCGUGUGUUGAGAGAAUCUUGGUCCGGUAUGUACCGCCCGUACCAGGCGGUACACUUCGAAAUAAAAAACCAUGGUUUCAAUUACCAAUGACUUGGGCAUGAGGCUAGCUCGUAUUUGGUCCUCAAAUAAUACUGAUGUUGUAGAUCUCACCAGGUCCUCAAAACCUAGAUUAAAAAGUAUUACAGUGCGAUUUGAGACCCAGAAUUUUGCAACCAGAAAUAGAACCCCAUAUUUCUUCCAAGAAUCUCCUAGUUAUACUAAAGCAACUAGAAUAAGAAUAUCCAACCUACUAGGGUAGAAAGAAAAAAAAGCAAAUUUUACAUAAAAGUUGAUGAACAAGGAAAAGUUCCAGAAUACCACUUUGAAAAACAAAAACAAAAAAGCCACAAGUGACUUAAUCCAUAUGUCCAAUUCUUGGCAGUAAAAAAAAAUCCAAAGCAGAUAUCAUUUUCCAGCUCUAAAUGUUCAGUCUUAUGUCCUCUAUUUUUUUAAUUGCCUAUGAGAGUUAACUCAUCUUUAAAUCGAAAAUAGUGAAAAGCUUUUGUUUAUUUUAAAAAAUUUAAGGUGUUUGACUCUUCAAAAGGUUUCUUAGAUUUUUGCGUUUCCGGCACAUGGAGUGAAUAUAACCUGUGAGAGAGGCUUCAAUCCUACAUUGCUAAACCAACUAACCUUCUAUUUAUUUAUAUGCCAUUUUUUAUCACUGUCACAUAUAGCUUUCAAGUGUUGUGGACUGAACACGACAUGCAUCCAUGUGCUCCUAGCCUCAGUGCACCAUGUAAGAAUUGCAAAGCCAUACAAUCUGCUUUCUCUUGCCCCUGUUUUCCAUGACCUAUUCUCCAAAUCCAGAUGACUAUACUCCUCUGUUCCUCUUCUAACUGCCUAUUCACCAAAUCUAGGCUUAGGUGACUAGUCUCCUCUUUUCUUCCUCUUCUGUUUUACACCACCUGUUCUCACAAUCUAGGCUACUAGUUGAUUGUAACUUUUAUUUAUUUUCCUCUUCUAUUUUUCCACCACCUAUUCUCCCAGUCUAGCAGUAAAUUACUAGGCAAGAAGUACUUUUUUCUAAGUGCAAAAAAAUGUAGCCAAAAUAUUUUGAAGUCACCAUGGACUCAUGGAGAAGGCCGUAUUGGCAUCAUAUUUAGAAAGGAGUCACCAUGGACCCUUCUGUGACUGAAAUCCUCUCUAAAGAUGCACUGUUGAUGUGUACAGUUAAAUAACAUCUUCUAAUCUCACUUUAUAUCACCAUGAACCCUUCUGCGACCAAAAUCCUCUCUAAGGAUGCACUGUUGAUGUGUUCAGUUAAAUAACAUCUUCUAAUCUGACUUUGCAUCCAAUGGCUAGUUUACAAUCAGCUGCUCUGUUUAUAUCCAACAGCAACCUUCCUCUAUUUUUGUUAAUCUCAAUAGUGCACUAAGUUUUCAAAAGAGAGGUCAUAAGGUUUCUUAGGUUAGGAUCACAAAAAGCUUAGAAUUAUUUUUAUUAACUUUUUUUGGCCAAUCACUACAUAUCUAAACAAAUGGCAUAAAUAGAUCAGAUAGGUGCAAUAAGAAAUUAAGUUUGAAAAUAAUUUUUUUUUUAUGACAAAUGAAGCAGGAAAGAUAUUUCAACAUCCAUCAAGUUGUUUGGCUUACAAGCACCAAAAUUUAUACUGGAAAUUCUUAAUUAUAGUGCAUGAGUAGUAGCAUAGCAUGAGUUUGGCAGCUGCUUACAAGGAAAAGCAAGUCAAAAUGGAUAAUAAGGUCAUUCUAAUAAAAGGCAAAAUGGUGAUCAUAAAGAAAUAACUAAUAAGGUUACAAAAUGUACUUAUUCAACAUAACAGACACAAAUAAAAACAUAACCAUCAAUGAAGGCAAAAGAAAAAAAAAAAAGUUUAUGCACUAGGUUUCCCAUAAAACUUUAAUAGGGACAUACUUAGCAGAUGCCUUAUCUUAUCUUGUGAAAUUAAAAUGUAAACUAAACUACUAAACACUAAUGAAAAUGAUAUGGGACAAAGCAUAUAAUCAAAAUUCCCUAAUCAUGUGCAGAGAACCUUGUACAAAGCCCAAUCGCAGGAAAAAGAACUUGAUGCCAACUACAAAUAAUUGGAAUAUUAGAGCUUGUUGUUGACCAUGGCACCAUUCAAGGGUUGGAUAAACAAGACUGACAACAAGACACCAAAUUAAAGGGCCAUUUCUUUGGUAGGGAACGUGUUCUGGAGUUCAUAUAUGAGAGCUUGUAUUAAUUAGGAUUGGAAUUAAACAAAACUGAAACUGAGAGCUCAGCAGGAUAGAUCGACAAGAUAGAUCACCAAUGCAUGAAACAAUUCAGAGAAUAUAUAAUUGGAAUGGCUUAAUUACUAAUGACUGGUGGAGGUUGAGUUAAAAAGAGCAGAGGAAUCAAACUAAUGUAGGAUAUUCAAUUGUUUGUUUCUUGAAAAAACUGAGCAGUACGGAUUUUGAACCUAUAACAUGAAACGAUGUAAAAAGGCCCUGAUAAUACAAUAUGUAAUACGAGAAAGUAACCUAGUUAGAGAAGUAAUACACUUCCAGCAGAGAAUAACUUACAAGUGCAAGAUUGAUCUGCUAAAAUUCCUCCACUUCAAUUGAGAAUCCACAUGAACAUCGCUUGGUCCACACUAACGUUUUUUCAUCAAAGCUCUGGUUCUCCACAGGAUAUACAUGUUCAUGGUCAUGAUCGGAUGGAAAAACAGGUUUUAAUUCUUGACUAGAACCAUCGCGAAAAUCUGAGGCUGAGGGCAUGUUGCCAUAAGGACUAUUUUCUUGAGAAACAUUUCUAUUACUCUUUUGAUCAUUGCUAACAGUCUCAUGUGUGGAUGAUGAGUCCACAUAUGAGUUCUUCAAAUGUUGUCUCGUAAUAAUGGAGGAAAGCAGCUGGAACCACCUUGAAAGGGCAUGGUUCUCAUUCCUCUUUCUCUCUUCAGAUUCUCUCCUUUCUUCUUCUUCUGCAUAUGCCUAUUUAAAAUGAAGAUUCCAACAGAAAAUAUUGGUAUAUCAGUCAGAAUAAACAUCUAGAUGUGAACAUAUUGCAGCAAGCAGUCGGUUGCUGCAAUAUUAUCCACGUGAAUGCAAGGAAAGCCAACAAGACAUCUUCUGAAAGGACAAAAAAGGCAUGAAUGUACCAAUGAAUAAGGAGUAAAUUACCACAUAUUGCAAAAGUUUUAUAAUAUGAAGAGAUACUAUGUAAAGUUUCUCUAUGUAAUUUUAAAGCAGAAUAACAGUCAUUCACAUAACAAAAUUCAUAAAAAUACUUCGAGUCCAAAUACAAACAAAUAAGGUUAUCACAUAAUAGUAAUUCAAAAUCCAAAAUUUGUGUUUCUUUUAAUCAACAUCUCUAUAAGUUUCAAGGUGCCCUAAGCUGCCCACUAUCAGUCAGAACGAGUAUCAAAGUGCAACACAUAUGCCUUCAUUUGUUUCAAGUAUCUGAUGUGAGUCAGCAAGAGUUUAGCAAGUUUUGUUAACAAGACAUGACAAGAUUUUGAAGCAGAUGCUAGUUCUUUGAGAGGUCCUUCCUACUUCUUUCUAGUGAUGCACUAACAUCAGACGUACAUAAUGUGGCCAUGAGGUCCUUAAUCUUAUUGCACUUGUAGUCUGCCAACCGUCUGUACUGGUUCUUCAAUAUUUAAAAAGGUAAAUUAAGUAAACAAUAAACAGACAACUGCUAGAAUGCAGUACUUUAUGCCUUUGACCACUUUGAGACAGUUACAUGAUACAAUAAUCAGUCAAGGUGCUCUGAUCAAAAUAUCAAAUAACAUGGGUCAGAGUUGGCAAAUCACAUGUAACUUGCUCUUUAUUAAACUCAAUAACAAAAAACUGUUAUAAAAUUAUAAAGUUACAAGAGUCAUCAACAUUGUGAGCAAUGACGUCCGGAGAGGUCUGCUCCUUAAAAACAUGUACGUUAGGAUAUGUAGUCUAGAAUUGGGAUUGUGGUAACUGCAGAUUGUAGAACCAAAGAAAAGUUUUAAAAUUAAACUAAGAACCGGAAGCAGAUGAACCUGAUAAAGCUUACCUCCAAGAUAGCACCUUUGAACUCACUACAAACCACAAUCCCAUCAAAUGUAGGAAUGCAGCGGCCAUUUCGAAAAUCAAAUCCAACCAUAGCAGGUGCAAAAUCAAUUUCCAGUCUCUUUGCAACUGGAACCAAUCUGGGUAACCUCAAGUGCGUAGUACCAGGUGGGAGACAUUUCUCAGACCAUACUUCCACUUGACCACGCUCAUUCUAUAUAGAUAUUCAUGAAAAAAAUGAGUCAGUAAUUACCUAAGACAUCGACCAAAUAUUUAACCAAAAAUAUUCAGGGCAGUAAGAUGGAUAGUAUAGCUGUAUACUGCAUAUCUAGAAAGAAGUACUAGAAAACCAUAGAAUAAGUAAACAACGAUGAAUCUUAGUUGACGUCACAAACAAGAUGUCUUCCGAAGACAUCUUGUAUUACAUAAAUAGAUUUGAAAUGACAGAAUGAUUGAUACAUCAGUGUGAGCAUAUUGAAAGUUCUUUACAAAGUGACGAACUAAAAGUAGAAAAAUAUAAAGCAUAGCGUUACUAAUUAAUCAAAUUAGAAAUUCAGAAACAAAUUUCACCACGAUGACUGAUAAUAGCAAUAAGCCUAAUCAGCUAAAACAACAGUCUCAUUGUUGCUACAGAGAUUAGUAAUAAAGACUAAAAAAAUGCGCAUCUGAAGUUUAAAUUAUGCCUAAUCCGCAUUAUAGACAUGAGUGCAACAUCAUAUAAGGCACAAGACUUCUGACUAUAAACUUGGUUUCCAAAUAAUUAAUGUUUAUCCUAAUUGCAGAAGCAACUCCAUGUACCCAAUGAAUUUAUGACGACUAAAAAACCAGAAGAGAGAAACACAAACAAGGUCACUUUUAAGCCAAGGGAUAAGGAAAAAGAAACUAUGAUUUUUUUUUAGUAGAAAGUGAAGUAUACUAUCACCUUUGGCACAAUCCCAUUUACAGCAUGGGGGAGUUGUAGUGGUUCCAAUUGCCACUUCCCAAAAAGUUCUACAGAAGGUUUGCCAUAAUCCUCUUUGGGAACAUCUACUUCAGAUGUCUGUCCACUGACAAAAUAUCUUGAACGUUUCACUACCUGGAAAAGAAGAAAAAAAAAAAGGUUUACAUAAAAGAAAGGCAGCUGGAUCAUAAUCAUGUUGAUAGUUUACACUUUACACCUUUGCUGGCAUUUCACUAGCUCUAACUUGCAAGCCCUCCCGUAACCACUUUUGCUUCGUUUGUAGGUUCUGGACACAAGACCGAGGAUAUACAGGAUGACCUGAACAAUAACCAAGUAUUGGACCUUUUGGAUAUAGGACUUGAUACUUCAUCAACCACUUUUCAAUAGCAUAAAGAUGGUGAUUUUUAUAGGCCUACAUUGCAUAACAAUGCAUUAGGAAAAAGUUAUCUUCACACAAAAAUCACCAAGUUAUUACUUGUAAGUUUCUCAUGUAGUUACCAAUUGAUUCGUAGGAAGAGGUUCAGUUAAAGCCCUAGUUGCAAGUUCCAUAUCUUCAAGAGAGUCCCUUGAUUCAAUCCAAAGGCAGUUAGGUAAAGCUUCAAGAUCCAGUGACUUGGUAAGAUUGGACACUUUCUUACCCAAUCCAUCAGCAUCAAAUGGACUUUCUAGGGGCCUCUGAGAGGUAACCUGAUUAUCUCUGAAAUUCAUUUCAACAGAACUGAUCACUUUCUUCUCUCGAUCAGAGGGAGCCUUUCCAUGCAAUUCCUCCAAUUGAACCACACUUCCAGCUGUAGCUGAUUCGAACUUCUUUAGCGGUGCCAAUACUGCUUCCCACCACUGUGCAUUUAUUCUUUUGGAAGCAAUUUUGUACCAGUGCAUGCAAUACCUGAAAAACAGUUAAGUGGAUUUCAUGAUCUAUAAGAAGCACAUUCUUUCAAGUUUCAACUUCUUGUAAAAUACUGGGUAGUUGUUUAAAAACGGGAUUUCUCAAAAUUGAUUUCUUUUAUAUACUGGUAAUAGAGACUGGCCUCACCAUGCUAUUUUCUAAGUAUCCCACAAGUCCUUGAGAGGCAUCAAGAAGCUUCACAGAUAAAGGUAUAUACGAAAAAGGGUAAUUCUUUCUCACAGUCCAACAAAAUAUCCAAUCAAGUUUCAACCCCACAAAUCCAUGCCAUAUAACCACAAUUGAGAGCAGUUACCUAAAGCAGUUCUAGCAGAUGUAUGCAGGCUAAGAAUAAAGUGUUAUAUCUAUAAAUAGAGAAAUUGUUUCCAUGAGUAAAACCUGGUCACCCACUUUGCGAAGGACCAACAUUACCCCUAUAAAUAUGAUUAUGUAAAAUUUAAAUAAUAAUACAUUUUUACCAUUUUCAACAUUUUAUUUUAUUUAAAUUAGUGGUUCAAGUGUCCUGGCUUGUAUUAAGUUAAAUAACUACUUGUUAUUAGUGUAGAUGGUCUUGUAUCGAUAUAUAGACUCUAUAUUAUUAAGCAUCCGAUACACUAUUCAAAACUAGUUGCAGUACAAUAUUGAAUGGGUAUUGUGUUCCAUGUGAAUGGUAGUUUAGCUGCUUUAGCCCCCCUCUCUUUCUUCUCACUCUUAUCCUAUUUUUUCCAGCAGUAUUAAUGAGUAUUCUUCACUGGAAAAAACCUAAUAUCUCUUCUUUCUUUUAUUAUUUCUCUUUCAAUGAUUAUAAAUACCAAAGUUCCUCUCCCAGCAGCAAAGCAUAGCAGUUGGGAUUUUUUGGUUGUUCCUUGUACAGAUUUCAAUCUAAUAAUUUGUAUGCAAACUUAUCACAGGCUUGUGAGGCAUUAUAAACAUACACAAGUGACAUAAGUCAUUAGGUUGCAACAUGAUCCUGAGUGGCAAAGGCCCAUAUCAACAGUAGCUUUACAAUCACAGAGAAAGAAAUCAAGGUGACAUAAAAUAAUAUAAAUCUCAAACAAAUUUAUCACAAGCUUGUGAGACAUUAAAAACAAACACAAGAGACAAAUGUAUUGAAUUAAGGUGGUUGCACUAUGAUAUUGAGACCCGAGCACCUCAAUGUGCUUUAUCGAGGCACCUUCAACUUACUGUUGCUCAGAUGAGAAUGUCAUCUUCAGCAGAUGGGCUAACCAAGAUGAACCAUUUGGGCGCUGGGCAUCCCAGGCACUUGUCUGAGCUACCAUGAGCUUAAUCAACUCAACAUUGUCAGUCUAAAGCCCCAUGAGAAUGGUUCAACAUGCAAGUGUUAAGAAUGUGUGAAACAUGACCUAGGUGUAGGCAUGCAAACUCAUGAGCACAUGACUCGGCUGACCAAGGUGCAAGCAGACAACCAUUUACCAGCUUGAACCUGAACUAAUCGCAUUGACCAGCACGGCACCCAUAUGGAUCUAUACAAAAGCCACCUGGUCAGUACCAGUCAGCAAGCAUCCACUUCAUUCCAAAGGAUACCCUUCAGCUCAUACCAAGAACAUGGCUAUAAUCCACGAAUGGGAUAUACAACCAUUUUUGCCAAGUGUUCAGUUUGUUAUUGAAUAAACCAAUUAGUUGCAACAAGUAAUGGCAUUGUGGCAUCAUCAAUCUGCUUAAUUCACUGCCUAAAAUGAGUGCCUAUUUGGUGCAUUCUUUGUUCAUGAAUGAGUGAUAAUACAACUGUUCUUGGCUCAUAGCAAGAGGAAACAAGAGAAAGGAAAAAGAAGGCAAUCAGAAAAAUCAAGCGAUUGACUGGAAAUCUAAACAAUAUCUCUGUAGGAAACCAAGUAAUACAGUUAAUUUCAAAGAAACAAAUUUCUUGAAUUGAACUUUUUGCUUUUCUCAACCUUAAUAAUAGUAUGAAGAUUGACUAGAUAUAUAUGUAUUUUGAGUUGUAUAAUCAUAUUUAUCUAAGAAAGGUCCAUUUUAGGAUAGAAAUAGUGAAGGUCAUACCUGCGUGACACAUCUUUAGCACCAUUUCCAGCAAAAGCAACAACAUAUCUCAAUGGUCUUCUACAAGCAGCAGCUGCAGCUUCUACCCUUUCUGCACCAUCAACUAUAGCAUUUGCAGCAUCAACAUGCACCCAUCUUCCUGUUAAAGUCUCUCCGCAGCAGUAGACUUCUGCCCAGUACAAAGGAGGCCCAGUCCUUCUAGACCAAACUGCACCAGAGCUACCAUGCAUUGAAACUGAGGAAUCUACAGCACUUCUUAGUGUUGGUUUUUUCACAGAAGAAGCUAGUCUUGCCGAAGAUACAGGUGACUCAUCAAUCUCAGAAUGUAAUUUGUUAUCUGCAACAGCUGCAGUGGUUGCUGAAAUGGCCAUUUCCAUCUCCAACAUGAACUCCAUAUCCCCUUUUCUUUUUGAUUUUGUGUCCUGACAAUUAAACUUGUUAUUGCACAUUCCAAUGGUUGAUGUAUAACUGACUGGAUCAUUAGAAGAACAAGCAGCUGCAGAAACCUCAGGCAAAUUCUCCUUGCAACCUGAACCUUGCUGCUCCUCAUCAAACUUAUCCUUACCAGAUAUUUCCAAGUUUUCAUUAUUCUUAUUCAGUAAAUGAACACCAGUUAUUUUACUAACUGGACUAGGUGCCAAGACCGAAGUUGAAGGAGAGAAUAUUCUCAUAUCCAUGCUUGCUCCAUCUUGCUUUGUGGUUCCAGUUAUAUCAGCAUCUGGCUUGAGAGAAGCCACAUCAAGAAUAGACACGAACCUGAAGCAAAGCAUUUCCUUUAGUAACUGAUGGAAAGUGCUUAAAAGAAAUAAAGAGGUUGCAUUAUAAUAAUCAAGUGCAUCUAACAUUAUCUGUCAUGGAUAGAAAGCUUGUCCUGCACAGAAAGCUUCUCUAAGUCAACAACAAGAAUCCAUUGAAGAUGCAUCAAAUUCCCAACUUCAUCUUCUGAUAUCAGUUAAGCUUCUCUAGCCUAACUGCAACAACCAAAACUGUAUACUAUCUAAAGUCAAUAGACAAUAUCAUGUAUCUGCAUGUUGACCCAUACUCCUUGAUAUGAGUGGUACGUGUCAAUUGGAUGAGAUAUUGAAACACAAAACCAACCAGAGUCGGUUGUCUACCUCAUAUCAAAGUAGAUUGUGGCAUGCCAAUAAAUACAGAUCAUUACAAAUCGGCACAAGUUUAAUUUAGAACAGGAUUUGUAUGAUAUAGGCCGAGACCAACUGGCAUGACUUGGUAUAGGUCUGUGAACUGUUCAAGCUUAGCCAGUCCAAGAUCUUAUUCACUUGCAUGCAACUACCAACAGGUUUGUGCUAUAACAGUAUUAACAAUAUUACCAAACAUAAACCUCGGUUCUAUAAGAAUCUUUAACAAAAUCUCAGAAUUCAUUUUCCAAUGCCUUAAACAAUAUGAUCAUUAGAACUUUGCAAUUAAAACAAACCUAAGUGGAAUAAAAAAUGACAAGAAGAAGCCGCUACACAACAACUCCCAGCAAUCUGAGCAUCUUAGUCUACGAAAAGCUAGGUGUCUUAGUUUGACUUAGUCUAGAUUAGUCUAUUUUCAUUUUUCAGGAAUUGUUGGAAAGUUUUUUUAUCAAUAAUUAGUUGUGUUCUUGUAAGACAUUAUUAUUUUUUGGGACUUACUUUUGUUUGAUUGAUAGAAGUCUUAUCUUCUAAAGCAAGGUUCGCAAUAUCGUACCGUACCAAUAUUUCGAUCUGGGCUCGGUACCGGUACGGUACAAUGUACCGAGCGGUACACCCAGGUGUACCGAGCACUAUAGCAGUGCAAUGUACAGUACUACAGUGCACCAAUACACUGUAGCACUGUGCACUGUACUGCUACAGUGCGGACUGGUACCGGGUGAUCCACAAAUAUAUCUAUAACUCUUAACCAAGAUUCCAAUCUAAUCAUAUCAUCUUUUCAAGUGAAUGUAUAAUAAAAACCAAAAUAAUAAUAUAAGGCAAGGAUUUUAAUUUUGGCUAGCAAACCCGUAGUGAUCCUGCUCGGGACCACUACAGAUCCCAUACCAGCAUACCAUGUUUCAAUACAUUGGUACACACCAAGUUUCGAAAAAAGCCUGAACAAUUUAUUGCCCCAGGCCCCCAAGUCCCUUUAACGAGCAUACCGGGUGGGACAAGUCUUGUAAGGAGCAAUACAAGACUAGUACUAGGUGUACCACUUGUUUACCAUGUUUUUAUGUUGGUAGGUUGUCGGACCAAUAAAGACACCCAUACCAAACCAUAUUGACCGUUAUUGCAAAUUUUUUAUAUAAGACUCAUCCUACAUUUAUUAAACAUUUAAAAAUUAUUAAAAUACUCCUAAAUUCAUCAAUAAAAAUUCUAACCUGCUUUCACAAACUAAAAACUUGAAUUCGCUUGGAUUGGAAUGCAUCAAUCAUCUUUCUGCUGCACUAAACUUAUCCUCAAAGUCUCGUAAUGAAGGUACACUAGUUUUUAUCUUUAAUUUUUUUCUUGGAUUCAUAUUUAGCAUUGAUCCUGCUUUAUAUUUCUGCAAUCAUUUGAAAUCAUACUGUUUUGUUGGUUUCAAAUAUUGGGGCAUGACAUAAAGGUAAAAGACCACAAAUGAAUUUCAAGGUAAGAAGUAGGCAUCUCAAAGGUUUCAAACUUGCUUUGUUAAGAGAACAUCUAAAAUAGAGUAACAAUGUCAUGCAAAUCCACAUGCUGACUUGAUAAAGCAUCAAUCACAAGUGUAAGACAACAUAACAAUGCAACAAAUAAUUACAAGAAUUUAAUCUUGAAAUAAGAAUGAAAAAGGUGAGAAGAGAAAGACAUAGUGAAUUAUAAUAACAAGAAUAAAGCUGAAAGCAAUACUCAAAUAAUGAAGAUAGUAAGAUCCUAAGGAACUAAAAGAAAUAUCCAUCAUAUAGAUAAAGAAAAUAGCAAGACCAUUAGAUAUGAAAAAUCACAGUUUCUUUCCUCAAAAAAAUUCAUCAUACCAUUGUCUAAUAUGAAAAUUUGUCUCCUAUCAAGUGCCUUAUUACAUUAUGGAAAAAGGAAGCCUCUAAGUUAAACAUAGAGAUAAAAGAGGGAAAAAAGAUUGAGAAAAAAAUAGGAGAAGAAAAGAGGGAAGAAAGAUAGAGAACUUCAGAAGAUGAGAUCUUGCGUAGUGCAAUAAUUCAAUUCUAGAACAUAAGGGCUACAUAAUACCAAUUUAUAGACUCUCCUCAGCUGAUACAAAACUCAUCUACUCCAUCUAAAACUACAUAUUUCUUAAACAAUCUAUUCUGAAUCCUUAUCUGACUAGGAAAAAGAGAUAUGUCAAUUAGCUAGCUGUCAAUUUUAUCCACGCCACUGACACUCAUCGGUGCCUCCAAUGAGUCUCAAACACCUAAGAAACCUGUGAUCAAAUCAAGUUUGGGCUUAGUUUAGAACUCUCCAAAUGGAUAAAGGUCAAUCUGGACUAUUGUUGCAGAUUAGGAGUAGGAGUUGACCUCAUUGACCCAUCAAUUUUGACCAAAUAUGAUCAAACAUUAAAAUGAGCUGCCUAUGAUGAUUAUGUAAGCCUCUAAGUAAUCUUGAGUUGUUGAUACAAAAUGUGGGUCUUUUCCCUGGGCAGCCCAUAUGGUCGGGGCAUCCAAGAUUAAGCCCCCAUUGUGAAAGGUUGCCCUGGCUCGUCCCUUAGACUAUCCUCACAAGACUUGAGCUGACCCAAUAGAGCUAGAGUGGAGUCUUUUGUUUUCAUUUCACAGGGGCCAUGUUUGAGGACAAAGGCUGCGGAUCACUAGAAAUUUGUAUCACAACAUUGUUCUACAUGUUUCAUAAUCUAAGGCUUCAUUUAUGACUAGAUAAGGUUGAAUAAGAAAAUGACUAUAUCUUCUCUAUCCUACCAUCUCCUAGUCCAACCUUAUCCAGAAUCAUAUUUCUUUCUUAUUUUAUCAUCAUUUUUCAGUGAUAAAUAAAGGUAAUACUACAUAAACUCAAACAUCCAAAUAAAAAAAAUAAUCCAAAAACCAAUGAAUAAAAAUAUAAUUUAGAUUCAACCAAAUUAUAAAAAAAUUAAUCCUAGAUUCAAAUACGAUAUCCUUUCUCACCAAUAAUCUCUGUUAAGCAUAAUAGGGUAAGUUUAAUAAAUAAUUUUCAAAGCCUCUUUUCUCACCCUCCUCUACCUCCCAUAAAACCACUAACCUCAACUGACAGCUCUGAGAAAGAUAAAAGGGCACUUUAUGAAACUACAAAUUUAUAGAUGGAAGAAAAGAUAUUCAAGUUGUGGUUCGACAAGUGCUAAUUGUAAAUUAGAUAGCCUAUUUGACUGUUUAACCAUCAUGUCCACAUACCGAGUUGUCAGAUUGAGAGCUCUAAACAAGGCCACUGACAAUGCAGCAACCUACACAAAUAAAUCCAACUAUUAAAACAUUUCAUGCAAUUCUUCAAGAAAGUAGACCAAGAAUUACUAUCUAUAUCUUUCACUCAAAUGUAAAAUCCUUAGCGAGAUAUAUAUAUAUGCAUAACUGAACAAAAAGAAAGCACAAUGCUUGUCUUAUAUAAAUUUAAACUUCAGGCAAGGAUUGAAAAGACAUGAAGGCACUAGAAAAGGAGCACAAAAUUGCAUUAGAAGAACCAAAGUUACAUUUGAUUCACAUUUCUUGUUAUUCAUUAACCAAGAAAUCACCUACAGAUAUAUAAGACUUAUGCAAUGAGAUAAAGUUCACUGCCAAUUCAAAGAUCAGAUAAAAAAAUAGUGUGACAUAUUUAAGACAAAUUAUAAAAUUAAUUUAAACCAACCUGACCAUGGAUUAAGAAUCUCACAGUCGUAAGAGACACCAGAGUCGAAGAAAAAUACAAUAUCUUACUCAGCCCCUUGAUUAAUAAUAAUUUUUCCAAGAUAAGGAAAACAACAGUUGAAUAUUAAGAAUUGUGUUCAAGGGCAUCAAAACAAUCAGCAUAAUAAUGUUCUUUGAUGGCCAAUAACAACUAAGUGAGCUUUGUGGAGGUGUUAUGCAAUGUUCAAGAGAAAACAUCUAUUCCAAUUCGACUUUGUCAUACCUUUCUUUCUUCUUUAUAGUAGCAUUGCUCUUGCUUCAUCUUUUAAAAAGCGCUAGACAUCAAACAGGGUCUGCCGUAUCGAACCAUACCGCCUAGUAUGGACGGUACGUACCGAUCCGACAGGUUGUCGAUACGCGGACCGCCUGUUACCGGUCCGAGUGCACUGUAGCACUGUAGCGGUGCUACAGUACUCGACACACCUGGGUGUACCGCUCGGUAUACCGUACCGUACCGGUACCGAGCCCAGGUCGAAAUACCGGUAGUACGGUAUUGCGAACCUUGCAUCAAAGCCCAAAAAAGCCCGAGGCGCUCGCCCGAGUGAAGUGAGGCACUAAAAUAUAAAAAUAUAUAAUAUAAUUAAUAAAAUAAUUAUUUAAAUAAAAAUACGAUAUUAAAUUAAGAAAAUCUUGUAAAAUUACAAUAUCAUAUUAACAAAAAGUCUCAAAAUUAAAAACAAUAACAAUAAUUUCAAAUAAAUAAAAAUUAACAGUAUUAAAAUCAAAAUAAUAUAUUAUUAAUCUAAUAAAUAAAAAUACUAUUACUAGUAUACAGUUAGUAGUAUACUGUUAAUAUACUAUUAACAGUAUACUAUUGAAGUGAGAAGAGUAUGAGUAAGAGGAAGAUCAAGGCUGUUGAUUGAGAGCAACGGCAGCGGAAGCAACGAGCGAUGACAGUGGCGGUGGCAGCGAUAACAGCGAGCAACAACAGCGGGAGCGGCGAGCGAUGACAGUGGCAGUGGCAGUGGGAGCGACGAUAGUGACAGCGGCAGCGGGAGCGGCGAGCAAGGUUAGGGUUGGGAAGUCGUGAGAGAAAAGUUGAUAUUGGUGCUUUAGUUGGUUCGAUUGAACCAACUAAAGCACCGGAGACUGAACCAGACCUAAAACAUUGGUUCAGUCGCCCGGUUUAACCCGGGCACUCGCCUGAAGCACUCGACGCCUGGGCUCGGGCGAGCGCCCAAGCGACGCCACUUUGAAGCGCGCUGCCUGGAAAUGAAGCAAGGCGCUCGAGCCCAUUGAAAUCACUAUUUGAAAUAACCAUGGACUCUUCCUCCUUAAGUAUCAAUAUCACAAAAUUCUAUUUUUGGCACCUCAUUUUGCAACUAUCAAAUCCUCACACAUAAUAACUUUUGUGAUAAACUAUAUCUGUGCCAAAUGGGCUAGUCUUUGGCACCUAUACCUUGUAAAUAGCAAUCAUUUCACCUUGUCUUAAACAUUUUCCGUGUCUUCAUGGAGAUCGGAGGAUUAUUCCAAUUUUGUGAGAAUAAAUUGCAACUAAAAAGGUAAAUUGUCACACUCCACCAAACAACCUUCUAAAAUGUAUGGCAAGCCCUCUUUUAUUUACAUUUAUGACAAACUUUAGGAAGAUAGUUGAUCAUAAAAUUUUAUAAAAUAAUAUAUGGAGCAGGGUUUUUAAUACCAUUCCGUAUCACUCGGUAUGGGCGGUACGUAUCAGUUCGCCAGCUGAUCGGCACACGGACCACCCACUACCAGGCGGUAUCAGGUAUUUGGCUGCGAUGAGGUGAGGCUAGACGAGGAAGAAAAGGGCAUUCGAAAAAGAGGGAGAAACAUCGAGAAAGAGGACCGCAGAGUCAUCGAUGCAUCGUCACCAGCAUCUCGAUGAACCUGAGCCCAUUGAACCUCGAUGUGAACUUGUCUUCCAUGCCCUUUCUCGAUCUCGAUCCGACGCCUCCCUCCCCUGACGAUUUCAAUCCAAGAGGUAACAACGAGGAGAGUCAUACCUCUUUGGAGGAGGAACCGGAGGAGUGGGGAUUGGAGGAGGUGGCGGCGAGAGCAACAGAAGAGGCGGUCGCGACAAAGACAGUGAAGACCCCAGUCUUCUUCAUCUCCGAACGGUCUCCUUUGUCCACUGCCGUUGCACGAAGAACCUUUCAAUGUCGUCUUUCUUCUCCCCACCUCCUUGACGUCAAAGGCCGUAGCCAAGGUGACGAUAAGAAGGAUAAGGAAAAGGAGGACAAGGCAAUGACGAUGAGGCUGAAAUUGAUUUUUAUAAUUUUCUCGGUACCCCCAUACCGUAUCGUACCGAGCAAAGCUCGAUACAUCGAGAUGGUACGAGAUUAAAAGUCUUGAUAUGGAGAAGUCUCAAAUUCUUGCUCUCCUCAUUAGCUGACUGGCAUGUUAAUAAAGAACGGGUUUACAGCAUUGACUUAAUACCUUAAUAUAUAUUCUUCAAUAUCAACUAGUCUACAAUGCUUUCAAACUUCUGACAUGAAUGCGCUCAUGGAUGACCUCCAAAUUUAAAGUCUACUUACCUGCAUUGUGCUUCUUAGCCUUGAUUAAUAAUUCUUCAUCAAACAAUGUCAAUAACCUACCAGUAUACUAGUACUUGGAGUCUAUUCUGAUGUCAUCUAUAUUCAUUCUCUGAACAAAUGCUUAUAUUUACUCUGAGAAUCAAAACAGGUGAUUCAUUGAUUGCGAAAUUUUUUUGCAGACCUACUUAAUGUGAUCUUACCUUACAGUUUCACACUUGGCUAUGAUCCUAACAUAAAAGAUAUGAAAGAAACUGCUUCAACAAAUUGUUGCAGUCAAAUAAAAAAGCCAGGCAAGUGAAGAAAAAUUCGAACUUCACAAAACAAUUUCCAUUAACUAUCUAAAGAUUGAAAAUGAAGUUCACAAUCUAAAGUAAUGACCAGAAUCAUUAAGUAAAAAAAUACAUAAAAAAUAGCAACAGAGAUAAACACCUCUUCAGCUGUCCCCUCCUGGGUUUGAAGGGCAUACGCAAGAUUUGCAUUAAAAGAACCCUUAUCAAUGCUCCGGCUUCUUACACGGAAAUUAUUACUGAACUGCAGGAAGUACAGAAUUUGUGAGAAUGUCAAGGAGUAUCUGCUACAUACAAUAUUCAGACUCAUAAAAGUACCCCUUACCCAAUUUACAAGGGCACAUAAUCUGUUAGCCGUUAGUUUUUGAACCUCUCCUAUUGUCAGCAAGUUGACUGGUAAAAGUGAAAGUAAAGAAGCCUGCAAAACAUCUGAAAGUUAAAAGAAAACUUGUUUUAUGUACAAAGAUUGACAUGUAGCAGAAUACAAGAACCUGAAUCAGAGAAUCAUUGCAAGCAUUGUCAACAAUCCUCCCUCUUGCAAGUAGACAUAACAGAUGCACUUUAUGAACAAGCUCUGCUAAUUCCUGAAAUAAUAAUUACCCUAUGUUUGCCAUAUUAACAGUGCCCUAAAAAGAAUCACACAUUGCAUAGAAGUACAUCCUUAAACAUAAACCUGCCUUGAUAAUUCAGAAUUACCUUAUCUUUAGCAGAAAUUCUUCGAGGAAGCUUCUUUUGAGAACACGAUGGUGAGUCAGUGAAUUCAACAGUGAUCUCCCUACCAACAUCAUGUGAAUAACCUUCUAGAUUCUCUGGAACAGGAAUGCUACCCUCUUCCCAGACUAGUUCAUUUGCAUCAUAAGAAAUGUCUUCUGCAUCACCCUCUUUUACCAAUGUGCUUCCUUUACCAUUCCUGGUACUACAACCCUUCAGAUUAAAUUCAUGAACACAAUCUUUAGUAUCUAUGCUUCCACUAUUCUUUCCAGCUGGUUCCUCUACCUGAGAUAAUAGGAACUGAAUAUUUUCCAUUAGUAUGUACCCAAACUAUGGCAUAAACUUUGUAGAAUAAUGAAAAUGCACUACAAAAACUAGUUUUAUGUCUCGGUGCCUACUCUUAUCAUAAUGUGUUUUACCCUAUCAUCCUCUCACCGUUCAGAAAUACUGAAUCAAACAACCACAGACAGCUACCACAAACAUAAAAGAGAAUAAAUUUUCAUCAAUGAAGCAGAUAAAUAACUCAAAUUGCUAAGUAGUCAUGAAUGCUCGAGCAGACGAAGAGAACAACUCAAAGAUAACACCAUCCUUCUGUCUCUGCGUAAGCAAACAUCAUAUAUCACAACAAGUCAUCCUGUGGUUCCAUAAUGACUGAUCCGAAGGCCCCACGCAAAGCUUCUAAAGCGUACCUAACAACAUUUCAUGUUUAUAACCUUGGGGGGAAAAGAACUAGAAAUGGGCCAACCUUCUCUUCGGGCUCCCCAUGGUAAGUGACACUUUCUUUCCGCCGUUUAGAGCCCAAAGCUGUGUGAGAAGUUGCCUUUUUCGAUAUAUUGACGGUCGUCUCCUCCAAUCUAGCGGUUAGGGAACCUAAAAGCGCAAAUUGGAGGUAAAUAGUAACCAGAACGAUGCCACUUUCAAAAAAUAAAUGAAUCGAUGAAGAUGACAGAAAGAAAUCGUUACAAAACCUUUCCCACGCUUCGAUUUAGCGCCAGAACUGGUUCCCACUUCGGAAUCAUUCUGGGCUGCGGAGAAGAAUCGACAACUGAGGGUUUCUGCGCCGAACUAAUCAAAAUAGGGAAUAGGGUUACGGAAACAAACCGGGUGGCGUUUCGGCUCGGCGUUUGGAUUGAUUUCGCGUUCGCAUCUCCAAAACCUUUCAACUUCUCCUCCUCCUUCCUUAUGCCUUCUUCGGAAGGGGAGCUGAGUGCAUCUUUGAUGGUUGGGAGUUCGCCGCGCGGGAGAUCUUAGGGUGUGAGUGCGGGUAUAUCAAUCAUGCUACCGUGGGUCGAUCUGAGCCGUCCAAAGUAUUUAUUUUCUGAUAACUUCCGAAUGACCGAAUCGCCCUUGAAAACUUUCACAGGUAAUGAAUAAUAUGUUAAUACUUUAUUAUAAUUAGUGACCAUAGUUCAAAAAAAUCAUUGAAAAGGAGACUUUUGUAAAAGCACAUUCGAGUUAUUGAAUGGUUAAAUCUUUUUAAAGAUCUUAGAACGUUUCUAUUGAAACCUCAGGAUUGGAUAAUGUAUUAUUGUUACAUAAAUAAUAGAUUUCAUGUUCGAAUUCACUUUCAAUGUAAUAAAACUUUAUGAAUAAUAUAUAAGCUAGAGAAGCUACAAAGUUGGUAUAGAUUGAGAAAGUAUAACUAAUCGCAAACUAUGUAAUUUGUUUUUGUGUUUUCUUGAUAAAUAAAGAUAAAAUCUUCAAGUCAUAUGGAUUUCCAUUUAUAGGAAUCUUGAAAUUGUAAUUGUAGGUCCUAACUAAAAUGAUAUCUUUUAGAAAGUAAGAAAGAUGACAAGUAUCAAAAUAUCAAGAGAAAUGCAUAAGAAGAACCAAUCAUUGUCAAUCUACUUUGCUAUAUAUUUUUUCUCCAUCUAGUUUGUAUCAAAUGUCCAGUUGACAGCAGCUUAAUUCCAAAGUUUCAUAGUCUAAAUCUGAUUGAUGAAAGAGAGAACUACUUGGCCUAGUUGAUCAAGUAAAUUCAAUGAUCAAUUUCCACAAACCACAAGGAGACUUCAUUUUACUCAUUUGUCAAGGAUUAAUUUCAAGAACAAAUAAUAUAGCAUACUAUGUUAUGUGCCAGAGGACUUGACACACAACUGUCCAAUUGUAAUACCAAUAUGUAAUAUGUUUAGACAGGAGUUAUGUUGUAAUAACAAUUUAACUUAUCAGGGCACACAAAUAUUGCUUUGAAUCCAAUUGUCCAGUCUCUUUUGGUCAUAUCACUCCAAACUUUUCUAAUAAGAACACUAGUCCAACAAUAAUUUUAGAUGUAUGAUCCAAUCCGAGUUCAUGGUCAUCCAAAAAAGAGAGUUGAUUUCCAAGUAGAUCAAGAAUCCACUCAGACAUAUCGAUAUGAUACCAACAUAAACAUUAAGCAUUUCCAUAACCAAAGUGUUUGAAAAUAUUCACUGGUGGAGAAAAUAAUGGCAAACACAUUAAACCUGGCAUAGAAAAUCAAGCAUGGGAUGUGCAGAACUGCAGAUGUGCCAAUUUACUUGAAUCUAAAUAUGCCAUGUAUGUAUUAUUUACAUAUAUAAUGCAAGCUUAAGUGCCUGGUAUCAAUGCAUCAUCAGAAUCUGCAACAAUUUUCAGUAAUCUUCUAAACAGUAAGGGUGCUGAAAAGGUAAUUCUUUUUCAUCAAGAUCAGAGGACCAAAGGGACUAACAUAAUCUAAUUCCUGAUAUAACCAUCUUUUUCUCUAUGAUAUAGCACUUGAAUCAUAUUGGGACAAGUAAUCAGAGAUCCCUAUAAGACUCUCUACUACGGAGUACAUUAUGAUAUCUCUUAUCUGAUAUUUUAUCACUGAAAUGAACAAAUAAUUUAAUCAUACAUUACAGGCCUGAUUCAAAUGCAAACUCAAUUAUGCUAGCUUAAUACUUAGGGACUCCCCACUGUCCAUGCUGCUCUUUUGGUGUGCCACAAACCAUAAGUCCUCUCCUCGAAAGAUUGAUAUCAGCCAAUGAAAUUUUGCUUGACACAUUGCAACUUCAGAAUCUACUACUGUUUUCAGGAAUUUUCUUGGAACAAGCAUAGGGAAUGGUAUUGGUCAUCCUGAAAAUGAACAACUCAGAUAAUCUGAGCAAAGCACCUCUCUUGACAAGGUGAAUGGAAGAAAUAUUAAUAUAAACAAGAACAAUGUAUUUUGUCAUACACUUGAAAAUAAAUUCAUUAAAGAAACUAAGAAUGGUCCUUAAUGCUCAUGGUCUUGUAUCGAAAGGAUCUAAUUAAGUAGAGAAGGUAAGAGAUAAGUAGUGGAGAUAAGCAGUGGAUGUAGUUAAUCGAAUGCACACAAACAGAACAAUCGCACCUCUCCUUGCGCUUUUCCAGGAAUCGUGAUAGUGAUGCCUUCUGAGCUUGAGGUACAGAUGCAUAUAUAAAUCACCAAUCUAUUUAUUUACCUGGGCUAUUUAACCUGAUAAAAAAGUUAUCAAAAAUUUAGUAGACACAAAAACAAAGACUGUAUAUGAGAUACAAUUAAAAUCCUCAUUAUUUUGGAGAAACAAAGUUUGCCAAUUCAUCAAACCUUAGAGCUAAUUACCUCUUGGCAUGUCAAUUGCUACAAUUUCUAAUCCUAAAACUGAAGUUGAUUUUUUGGAAAUUUCUUGGAACCGACAGCUUUAGUCCCCAUUGUGUCAUCAUAGGUGCUAUCACCACUACUUGAGCUAGCCACGGUAUAUGACAUAACUGAUGUCGAGCAUGAGGGAUAUGGGCAGGGUGAUACCACAUGAUUCCCGUUAGAGCUCAAAGUCAUAUUCGUAGUUAAACCAUCUGAUUCUACUACUUCAGAUGGGACUGAGGCUGCAGCUAGUAAGGGUGCUUCAGAUCUCGAAUUCAUAGCAUUUCAAGUCACUGUAGAUCCCUUACUCACCAAUAACAUAAUUGCCUGAGCGUGAAAAGAAAAUUAAUCAACAAAAUUGCUUCACAACCAUGGUAUUCACAUCAAAAUUGGAAUACCAUAUCCAAUGGAAUGUCAUCAUACACAUUUAUGCAGUUCCCACAGAAAAUAGUUAGCUGAGCAGUCAUAUUGGCGGUAGUGUUGGCCAUAUUGCUGGAUAAACGAAUACAUCAUGCCAUAUUGUCAACAAGAUGGAAUGUAUAGUGUCUGAAGAAAAGAGUUGAAGGCUUUCUCCUGAAACUUAUCAGAAAAUAUCUUACCUUGGAUUAAAAGCUCCAAGCACAGGGCCACCAACAGGGGUGCUAAUGGUGGUGCCACAUCCGAAAGGCUGCUGCUUGGCAGAGAUGACUGCUAUAUUAGGGCCAUUUAGAGCACCCACAGUCUUGAACAAAGGACUGCUCAUGUUGACAGGACUAAAGUGAUUUAACUUGUGCUGUGAAGAAUCAACAAAACCAGUGUUGUGAGGCUGAUAUGCAUGGAAUGGAUAUUGGUUCAUCCUUCGCCAUAUGUCGAAACUGAAGCAUUUCUACAAGAUCAAGACACAGCAACAUGCCAGUUUGGUGAGCAAAAUGACCAGUGUGAUGAAUGAUUAUGUCUAAAACCAGUUGGAAAAUCGAUGCACACGUACCUGAUUGGCCUCAAAGGCAUCAAUGGCUGAUACAGGUUGGAAUCUCGAAGAUGAGUGUUCAUCAGAGACAUAGUUUCUUGACUUCUCCUCUUGUGCAUCCUUGUAGAACAUGAAUGGCUGCAUGGUAGACAUCUUGUUCAAGAAAGGCCAUUGCACUGUUGAAGCUCCUUACAUAGCUGAGAGUUAGAAACAAAUGCAAAAGCAGAUUUGGAAUUAGAUCAGAAGCAUCUUCCAUUAAUUUGACUAUUGAUUAUUCUCAAAAGCUAUACAAAUCGACUCACCACUGACAUAUAUCACAAUAAAAACCACCUCAAAAAUUUACAAUACGAUGGGUCUGAUGGACUCAAAUUCCAAGUGCCCCCGUUUUCCUUUCCAAUACAGAAACAUGAAACGCAUACUCUCAACCAACAGUCGAGCAAACGUAAUAAGAGCAGCAAGAAGUUAAAGACAAGAAUCUUUCAAAGAUAGCAUCCAUUACAAAUUUGAGCCUCUGGCUUCCAACAUUUUACUGAAAAAUUCAGCUGUUAGAGCACCAAAAACACAAAAAUCAUAUCUUUUUCCAAAGAAACGAACUAAACCCAUCAAGAGAGUAAGUCACUCAGCAUUAGAAACUAGAAUUAAUGCCGUUGCUGAAGCCAAUCAAAUCUCCUACCGUUUCAAUCUUUAGAAAAAAGAAGGAAUAAAAUGCCACACCACCAUAAAAGCGUCGUGUUUUCCGUACUCGGUCUUCGUACCAGUUGCCAGAUCCACAGCUCACAAGAUUUGCUUCAAGAAAAUAUAAGACCAACCUUUUAUCUCAUAUAGUCCAAUAAUUUUAGCAACCUAAGUCGAUCAAAUCAUUCAAAAUCACACCUUUAGCCGAGAGUCGAAAAUCAAACCUCAAAUAGUAAAGAAAAAUGAUUUGUUUAAUUAUAGAAAAUAAAUUACAAUUAAAACUAAAGAAAAGUUUGAUGGAUUGAAAGCUUGAGCAAACCUGAUCCCUGAAUCUUGGCGGCUCCCACCGGUGUCCUCCUCCGACGUCUGCGGGUCCAAAUCCCUCUCGUGAAUUCCCAAGAAAUCCGUCUUCUCACGCUAUCUGAUUCGAACGAUGCCUAUACUUUCUUCUCUCCUUGCACCCAGAGCUUCUCCUCCUCCGUCAGGAACCACCGAAGCCCUCAACAAAAGCCCUCCUCCUUGCACACACUGGAAUAAAUCGACUCCCUUCCGGUGGUUGAUACAGGAAGGAAAGGGACGAGGCUGGAGAGACGUCGGACGGCACUGGCUGGCGUCGGUUCCGGCGCACGUGCGCCAGCGGCGAGAUUCCCCGCGCGCGAUUAAUCGGCCCUGGCGCUACCUCGUUCCGCUCUUCGUGACGAUGACUCGGCGGGGUCCAUAGGUGCACCGAAUCGUAUACGCCGCGUGACUUCAUCCACGUCAUCUUUUCUUGCGACGUAUUUGAUCCGUUGACGAAAACACGACUCGAGCCAUCCGCACCCGAUCACGAAGUUAGAUACGAGAUUCGGUUGAUCGAUUUCUCCCUCAGUUGCUACAUAAGCACAGUAAGGGUUGAGUUCAAUCAGGUCUAAUAAAUGAGCCUUCUAUGAAUCUAAAGUACUGAUCAAUGACUAAAUAAGUUAUAUAACCCAAAAAUGAUCAAUUUUUUGUUCCUUUUUUAUCCACUUGUAAUAGUCAUGGAUCAUUUGAAUACUGUUGAUGUUAAAAACUGUGUUAAUAAUAUAAUUUUUAAGUAUAAUUAUAUUAAUUAAAAUUUUAAGAUGAUGUGAGAGUAAAAGAUUGGAUGUUUAAAUCCUCAAACUUGAUCACUUAUUCAAAAAAAAAAAUCAAUCAAUUGAAGUCAAAUUGUACGUGUUGGGUUUAAGCAUGUAAUCCAUACGUGAGCAAGCAUGUUAAGAAUAUAAAUAUCUAAUUUAUUUUAAUAUCAUUUUUUUCUAACCUGAUUCAACUCAAACACUUAAAUCAAAUUUGAAAUAAGUUUAAAAAGAAAAGUAAAUAUCUAAUAGGGUAUAUACAAUUAGUUAGCUAUCACUUUCACGUAAGAAGAUAAAAGCCCAAGAAGCCCAACACCCUCCUACCCACAGAUAAGAGUCUAAAAGAUAGCUCGGGUCAAUUACCAAACUGUCGAGCUACCUCCCAUAUGAAAUAGUCUUAGGAGUAUUCUUGAAAAUCUAACGGAGUUGUUUAUUGAAUCGAUUGAGUGAGUCUCGGAUUCAAGCGGAGUGGAGCAGUGGUGGGAUAGCCUAUUAAACUCUAUGAUUGGGGAGCAGGGUGCUCUCUCGGUUGGUGGCUCAAUAGAUCUUGGAUACCUAUGAGAUGUUAACAAUUCAUUGAGCAAGAAGACCCCAACGAACGUCGAUGCAAAAGGUUGCUGAACUAUCGAUGGUGGCUGAGGCAGUGGCAUCACCUGCUGGUUUGACCAAGAUAGAAGCGGGGUAAUAUGUUGUAUUAUGUCGGCUAAUGCUUGCAUUUGCUGGGUAAGAUUCAAGAAUGCCUCGAUAGGAACGAGUAGAUGGAUCAAUAGCACUCCUGAAAAUGAGGGUCUAGCUUCAUUGAAUGAACACCAAUACUGCAUUGGUACUUACAACGAGGUAGAUGUAUCUAUAUGGGGAAAUGGCAACUAUUGACCUAUUUGAAAGUAUCAUAGGUUAGAAACAGAGCCUCACUCGAAUGUUCAUGGGCAUGGUCAAUCUGCGAAUGUUUCUACAAUAUCAGACCCUCCUUUUAGCACUAAAAUAUUAAGGAAAAAAUAUUGUUGAUAUCUUCCUGAGCACAAUAUGCCCUGAUCCGCAUGUGAGGAGUCGUCCAAAAUAGAGUGCAGUUUCUCUGAACUCAUUUCCUAUACAAAGACUGUGGUUGAAAAGAGCUUCCCGAGCCAAUCCCUAUAAUGCAUAAGUUAGUAACGAUGUAUCUCUCCUCUAAUCCGGAGUUAACGGUGUAUUUUUAUGUUUAAUACUAUCGAUGUUAAAAACUAUGUUAAGAAUAUUAUUUUUUAAGUAUAAUAUAUUAAUUAAAAUUUUAAGAUGAUGUGAAAGUAAAAGAUUACAUGUUUAAAUCCUAAAACUUAUUCACUUAUUAAAAAAAUCCAUCAAUUGGAUUCAGAUUGUACGUAUUGGGUUUAGGCAUGCAAUCGAUACGUUAGCGUGGAUGUUAAGAAUAUAAAUCAUAUCUCAUUUAUCUCAAUAUCAUUUCUUUUUUUUAUAUUGGGUUAUUUCUAACCAAAUUCAACUUAGAUUUAGAUACACUUAAAUCAAAUUUGGAAUAAGUUUAAAAACAAAAGUAGGUGCCCAAAUCAUAUUGAAAUUUGAAUAUUUAAAUAAUUCUUUCAAUUCAGAUAAUAUCAAUUUUAAUGAUAUUUUAUUAUAUUAUAUUUUGUUAUAAUAUUUUUAUAAAAAUGGGUGUCUCUUAGAUGAGUAAGACAUACCUUCUUCUAAAGGAUAAGUGAUUAGGGAUUUACAUGAGAAGGACAAGUGUCCACCUUACAUAAAUACUAUAUAUCCCUUUAUAAGAAAUAAGAGAUUAGGGAUUCAUAGGAAGAAGACGGGUGUCCAUUUGGCAUGUGUACUUUAAAAUAUGUGUAUGACAUCUUUCUUUAGCUCAAAGCCCAAUACAAAUACGUCUUAUGCCCAAAUUCUAUUGUAAUUUAAUAAGAAAAUAAAAUAUACAUAGUAUAAGCCUUCUAUAGGCAUUUAGUCUCAUAUGGCUCCGAUGUAGCGAUCUAAAGUUUUCUGCAUUCUCUUGAACUAUCGUAAUGGUGUCGUAGUCCUCUGAUCCCCAUCAAUAAUACAUUACAUAGUAAAACUUAAAAAUAUCAUGAAAUUUAGAAGAUAUCUUUGAUUUGGAUCCAUAUGAACAUAUUCUAAUAUUUUAUUAUUUUAAAUCUUUUUUGACAUUUUUUCUGAAUUAUUCAAUUCCUGCAUAGUGUGUUAUUUUUUAUUUUUCAUUCAAAUUUUUUAAAAAAUUAUAAAAAAUGCAUGCACUCAUGCAGUAUUUUUUAAUAGUUAAUCUUAUAAUUAGGUCUCAAACACUUGGUAAAAAUUUGACCAUAAAAAUAUAUAUUUCUUUAUACUUGAUGUACUAUUUUUGGCUAAAAUCUAAAAAUAGUGCAUCGCAUAGCAGCACUUGCCAAAAUAUUUUGAAACUUUGGAAAUAUCAUUGUAUUGGAUCCACAUGGACAUAUCCAGAAUUUUCUGAAUUAUCCACAUGGACAUGUCAUUUUCUUUCUUGCCUAACUAUUUUAAAAUUUCACCAAAAAUUCCGACACUCAUACAGUAUUUUUUUUGACAUUUGAGUUUCUAAGUAAGUCACAAACACUUCAUAAAAAUUUGACCCACAAAAAUAUUUUCUUAUAUGUGAAGUGCAUUACAUAAUAGGACUUGUCAAAAUACCCUAAAAUUUUAAGGAUACCUAUGCAUUAGAUCCACAUGGACAUAUUACAAUAUUUUUCAUUUUCAUAAUUUUUUUUCAAAUUUUUUCUGAAUUAUUAUGUUCUUGCAUAGUAUGCCAUUUUUCCUUUUUUUAAAAAAAAAUUAUAAAAAAUCAUGCACUAAUAUAAUAUUUUUAACAUUUGAGCUUCUAAUUAGGUCACAAACACUCGGUAAACAUUUAGUUGUCAAAAAAUAUUUUAUUAUAUGCAAUGCACUAUUUUUGGCCAAAGUCUCAAAAUAAUGCAUCCUAUAGUAGAACUUAUCAAAAUAUUCUAAAAUUUUGAGGAUACCUUUCUAUUGGAUCCACAUUGAUAUAUUCUUUUUUUUUUAUUUUCGAAAUUUUUUAUAUUUUUUUGAAUUAUUUAGUUCUUGCACACUAUGUCAUUUUCUUUUUUUCUAAAAUAUUCAAAUUUCUAUAAAAAAAUUCAUGCACUCAUGCAUAGUCACAACACCCCUUCAAUCAUGAGCUUUUUAUUCGUAAAUAUUCAUCCUUUCAUCUUCAUGCUUUCAUUAUGCUUGCUUCUUAAGUUGGUAAUAUCGAUAAUAGAAUAUUCAUAUUGUUCUACAUUAUCUUUCUCAGAGCAAACCCAACAUAUAGUCAUAACAUCUAUUAUGAAAGCUGAGUAUCAAAUUAUUACCACCACUAUUAUAGAACUCAAUUAGAUCACCAACUUGCUUCACAAACUUAGAAUCGACUCUCGAUCCACUUCAACAAUAUAAUGUGAUAAUAUUGAUAUAACCUAUGAUGCUCCAAUCUAAUAUUCAACUCUCGCAUGAAAUAUAUUAUCAUCGACUUCUACUUUGUCGAAGAUCAAAUAGAUAGACUCCAACUCCGUGUAUCUCAUAUUCAUAUUUCUAACCAAUUAACUAAUUCCCUUACAAAGCCAUUUACUCAUAAAGUAUUUCACAAAUAUGAUUUCCAAGAUUAACAUCUACGACUGAAGCUUAAGCUUAUAAACACAUUAUAGAAGAUUAGCAUAAUCUUGUAUUCCUAUUAUGUCAAGAUCCUUAAUUAAGCCUAGGCUCAAUUAUUAUGAUACAUGCACACACGAUUGAGGGCAAUCUAUCCUUCCUCAAACGUUUAUAUAUACUUUGUACCUCGUAAAAAUGAAACAUUAAUCUAUUAUGGCAAAUAAUUCCAGACGCUGCAUGACCAAGGUGGAGAUGAUCUUUAUAAGGCCUUGAUACCCAUCACAUACGGCCAUCUAUAUUCAAAUACCCAUUGCAGGGAAAGAAGCGAUCGCGUGAUUACAAACGAUUAUUCUGUCACAAACAUUCUCUUCUAAGCAAGACAAAGAAGAGCUUCCUCCCUCUCUCUCGCUCGCCAUAGUUUCCUAUUGCCAUGGGCAACAACGCCAGCCUCUUUCUGAUGCUUGGUCUCCUGCUCUCCGUUAUUCCCUACAGAGGUCAUCCUUCAUCUUCUGAUAUGAUACAGCUAUAGCUUUUACACUGACUCGUUUCUCGACGCUUGCAUGCAGGAGCAUCAGAGACAGGAACACACUCCAAUCAUGACGACUACAUACCUGUUUCUUCCGUCGAACACCGACCUCUCGACGACGUGAUCAACAACUUACACGGCCACGAGUCUGAUGUUAGACAGUGCAGCGAUUGUCGAUGUUGUUCUGCCAAAGACCCGAACAACUGCCAGACGAUGAGUUGUUGUCAAGUAAUGGUCUGCCUCGAGCCCGGCCGCUUAUGUUCUUUGAAGCCGAUCCGUUGCGACUGCAACAACUGCAGCUGAGAGAACUUGGCAUUGCUUCCGUGGGUGCAGACUAGUGGAGAUGGGACAAGAUGAAAGGAGACUUUUCUUCUUUUGGGUUCACUUUGUGAGCAGUAGUCUGCAUGGCGAGGAUUGGAUGAUAUGUAUCCAACAAUAAAAGACUUUCUUAAAGAGUGGUAGUGUUACUUUCAUGAUUAAAGAUUGGGCCUAUGUUGCAUUUAUAUUUAUAAUUUUUUUGAUAAAUUUCUAGUAUAUUUUUUUUGUUAGAAAAUAUAUCGAUCUUAUUAUAAGUGCAUGCAUCUGUUCAAGCACCGAAACCACAUCCUACAAAAAAAACAUAAAAAAUAAUAUAAAAAAACAUUAGAGAAAUCGACUUUGGUCGGCUAGAGUUAUUAUUAUUAUUAUUAUUAUUAUUAUUAUUAUUAUUAUUAUUAUUAUUAUUAUUAUUAUUAUUAUUAUUAUCAACACGGCUCGAGCUUCGUCACACACAUUAUGUAAUAUUUUUAUUAAAGAUAGAAAUUCUAAAAGUUUAAUAAAACUCAUAUAUUACUCAAAACAAAAAUCAAAUAAAUAUACAUUGACUUUAUUAGCUAGCAUGAGUGAUGUGAUAGGCUAGUUGUUAGGAAUAUCUAUUUUCCAUUAAAAUAUGGUUUAUAGUUAUUUAAGAACUAGAUUAGUAUAAGAGCUCAUAUAAAAUUCUAAAAUAUAUAAGAAAAUAAACAUUAGAAGUCAAUAAUCAAAUCAAUAGUUAUCCUACUAGCAUAUGUCAAACAUCCGUUGGAAUGCUCUACCACUAAAGUGGAGGAUGAGCUUUAUGUUCUCUUAAUAACAGAUGAAAAAAAACUCAUAUUAUACUUCUGCAGCAAAUGAAGUGGCAUCUUGCAUAUAUCAAUAUAGAGACGCAUUCCUUCCGGAGGAACUAUCUAUUCAUCAUAUCUAAUGACUCGUUAAUCUUUGAGUAGAAUCAUCCUAUAUACCUUUCAGAUAAAAAAUAAUAAUCUCAUAAAAUAAUAAAUCAUGUUUAUUUCAGGAUAAAAUAAUAUUAUCAAUCAAAACAUCUCGAAUUAAUUACCCUUUAAGCAACAUCCAUGAACAUAUAUUAUCAACUUAAAUCCCAACUAAGUCAAUCUAAUUAACUUAAGCCUAACUUGAUUUAACUAGAAUCUACCUGAAUUCUCCUCUAACCCUUAGAACCACGUUAAAUUAAUCUAAUUUAAAUUAGAUUGGAUUUAAUUUAGAUCAAAAAAACUUAAAAAAAUUAUAUAUAUAUAUAUAUAUAACAUCCAAUUAGUCCCACAUUAGAAGUGGACAAUGUGUAUGAUUCACUUAUAUGAGCCUGAUGAGUGUACUACAUUAACUCUUGCUAUAAGAUUGGUACAACCAAAAAAUUAUGUGAAGAAUAAUUAUAAGAAAUUUUGCAUCAAACUUAUGGCAAACCAUUAAACUCAUUCAUGUUUAGUCACUAGAAUUCUCCAAUUUGUGCUGAAAUAAAGGAACUAAUCAUGAUUGAUUUGGAAUAUUUUCUUAUAUACAAUGCAAUAUUUUUGACCAAAUUCUAAAAAUAGUGCAUCAUAUUCUAAAAUUUUGAGUAUAACUUUUCAAUGGAUCCAUAUUAAUAUAUUCCAUUUUUUAUUUUAGGUUUUUUGAAUAUUUUUCUGAAUUAUUUAGUUCUACGUCCUUUUCUUUUUUUUCUAACUUUUUCAAAUUUUUACAAAAAGAAUUCAUGCACUCAUACAUAGUCACAAAAUCCUUUCCAUCACAAAUUUUUUCUUCGUAAAUACUCAUCAUUUCAUCUUCGUUGAUGCUACUUGAGUCGAUAAUAUUGAUAAUAGAAUAUCCACAUCAUCUUAUAUAAUCUUUCUUAGAGCAAACCUGUUUAAUUGGAGUUUCAAGAAAUAACAUAUAGCUAUAACAUCUAUCACGAAAGUUGAGUAUCGAGUCAUCGCCACUGCUAUUGCGGAGCUCAACCAUAUCACCAACUUACUUCACAAACUUAUAGUCAGCUCUCGAUCCACUCCAACAAUAUAAUGUGAUAAAAUUGGUAUUACCUAUAAUAUUUCAAUCUAAUAUUCCACUCUCGUAUGAAAUAUAUUAUCAUCGCUUUCACUUUGUCAUAGAUCAAAUAGUUAACAUAUAUCUCAUGUUCACACUUUGGACCAAUUAGGUAACUCCCCUACAAAAUCACUUGCUUAUAAAGUAUUCCAUUAAUAUCAUUCCAAGAUUGACAUACAUGAUGACAGUUUAAUAUUGUAGGGACAUAAUAGAGGAUUAGGAUAAUCUUGCAUUCCUAAUAUGUCACGAUCCUUAAUUAAGCCAGGAUAAAUUAUUAUGAUACAUGCAUAUGAUUGAUAGAAAUCUCUCCCUAUUUAUAUAUACAAUGUACCUUAUUUAAAUGAAACAUUAAUCUUUUAUAGCAGAUCUUUUGAGAUGCUGCAUGACCAAGGUAGAGAUCAUCUUUAUAAGGUCUUGAUACCUAUCGCAUAUGGCCAUCUAAGAUUGUUCUGUCACAAACAUUCUGUUGUAAGCAAGACGAAGAAGAGCUCCCUUCCUCUCUCUCGCCAUAGUUUCCUAUUCCGAUGGGCAACAACGCCAGCCUCUUUCUGAUGCUUGGUCUCCUGCUCUCUGUUAUUCCCUAUAGAGGUCAUCCUUCGUCUUCCGAUAUGAUAUAGCCAUAGCUUUUACACUGACUUGUUUCUUGAUGCUUGCAUGCAUGCAGGAGCAUCAGAGAUAGGAACACACUCCAACGAUGAUGACUACAUACCUGUUUCCUCCGUCGAACACCGACCUCUCGACGACGUGAUCAACACCCUCCAUGGCCACGAGUUUCUUAUUCAACUGUGCAAGGAUUGCCGAUGUUGUUCUACCAGAGACCCGAGCAAGUGCAAGACGAUGAGCUGUUGUCACGAAAUGAUCUGCCAGGAGCCCGGCCGCUUAUGUUCUUUGAAGCCGGUCAGCUGCUCCUGCAACGACUGCGGCUGAGAACUUGGCAUGCUUCCGCGGGUGCAGACUAAUGGAGAGGGAAAAGAUCAAAGGAGACUCGUCUCCUUUUGGGUUCACUUUGUGAGCAGUAGUCUGCACGACGAGGAUUGCUUGAUAUUGUAUCCAACAAUAAAAGAUUUUACUUUCAUGAUUAAAAAUUGGGCCUAUGUUGCAUUUAUAUUUACAUUUUUUUUUGGAUAAAUUUCUAGUAGAUUAUUUUUAUUAGAAAAUAUAUCUUAUAUAUGUGCAUGCAUCUUCGGUACAUCUCAUACCAUUCGAAACAAAAGUCUCUAAUGACAUACCAUUGCAUGGGUAACAUGUCCGACUAAACACCCAAAUGUUUAUGUUAAAGCACCAAAACCACAUUCUACAAAAAGCACAGAAAAUAAAAAAUAUCAGAGCAAUCUACUUUGGUCGACCGGAGUUAUUUUAUUUUUAUUUUUAUUUUUAUUCCAAAACAGCUCGAGCUUCAUCUACUGUCACACACAUUAUGUGAUUGUAACACCUUUCCAUAGACUACAUUACUUUAUUAAAAACAUAAAUUCUAAUGAUUUAUUACAACUCAUCUAUUACUCAAAAGAAAAAUCAAAUAAAUAUCCAUCUGACUUCAUUCGCUAACAUGAGUGAUGUCAUAGACUAGCUGUUCUAGUGGAGGAAAAUUUGUUCUUCACAAAAUCUUGUUUAGAGCUAUCGAGAGGCUAUUCUAAGAAUCAAAGACAAAACAAAAUAAUUCAAGAAUAUAUUGAUUCGGAGCUUGUAUAAAACCCUAAAAAAAAAUAUAUAUAUAUUCAUUAAUAAAAUCAACAAUCAAAUCAAUAGUCACCUCACAUAUGGAUGCCAAAUAUCCGAAGUACUCUCCCAACAAUGAAUGAAAGACUUUAUCAUAUGGGAUAAGCUUUACAUUCUUCUGCGGAUGGAGAAAAUUAAUAUUGUACUCCCAACAUGAAGGAACCAACCAUCUAGUCAUCACGUAUAAUGAUUCACUAAUCUUUGAAAAGAAUCAUUAUACUUUCUGAAACAUAACCAUCUUACAAAAUAACAUAUUAUAUCUAUUUCAAGAUGAAAUAAUAUCAUCAAUCAAAACAUCUCAAAUUAAUUACUCUUCAAGUAUCAUCAAUGAACAUAUAUUAAUUAGCGCUUAAACCCUAACUAGAUCAGUCUAAUUAACUUGAGUCUAACUUAAUUUAGCUAGAACCUAAUUGAACUGAUCUCUAACAUUUGAAAUCAUACUAGUCUAAAUUGAAUUAUAUUGUAUUCCAUUUAGGUCAAACAAACCUGAAUAAAUCAAAUUAGUUUAAGUCAUCUUGAAUCGAUCAAUCGACUUGGUUCAGUCAAUUGUAGGGUUCAAAUCAAGCAAGAAAGGGAAUUGAACUAGGUUGCAUAGCUCAAUGACACUCAAUCUAGCUCCAAAGCUCACCCAACUUCAACAAUUUUAUCAAUAACAAACUCAAGCCAAGUCAUCAAUCAAGCUUCAAAGCUCAAUUUGAUCAACCCAAAUCAACUUUUACUCUUCUUCUUCUUCUUCUUCUUCUUCUUCUUCUUCUUCUUCUUCUUCUUCUGUUUCCCUAGCCUACUGCAUUGCAUUAGAGCAAAGAGCCAACAAAAAAUUAUAGCCGGCCUAGAGCCCAAACUCUGGUUGAGAGAUUAAAGAAGAAGACGUGCUGCCGAGUUCCUUCCAACUGGAGCCCCUUCCUUCCUAAAUUCCAACAACCAAAGCCUUACUUUAAAGCUUCCUCUAGCUAGUGUGAGAAGUUCAAAAUCUAUCUAUUCACUGCCCAAAUCUCAGAAGGUGAUUUCAACAGCAAGGAGGAAGGAAGAGAUUGAGACCAUCCUACCGAGAGCACCCAAGUUUCGACACAACAUAAUUUCUUAUGCACUUAGUUGAGUCUUUUCACACUCUUAGUCCCUCGUAGUUGACACUUUUUGAUUUGAAAGUAAUAGAAGUUAUUUGUUUUUGGUUUUAUAGUAACAUCUUUCUCUUCUAUUAAAACUUUUCAUAUGCAUUAUUGAACCUGAACUCCAUAUGCAUUAGGUGAUGCCAAAGCAAUAAUCUUAUGGAUGAGGACCACAAGAAAAGGAUAUAAAGAAUUAUAAGAGUUAAGAGUUUAAAUCAUGCUUACAUAGAGAAAGAACCACUGAUUGAUUAGCUGCUAAUACUUGGAUAGCCUCGGUAUCUUUACUACCCAAAUGAUAAUAUUAAUGGGUUGGACGCAAGCCAACAUUAGAGAGAGCAUUAUUUCCAUCUGAGAUGCGCAGCGACGAAGAGAAUACCACAUAGUAAACAUCAUGGUUUAAUUGACUACUACGUGGAACUCUCUGAAUGGGCUUGGAUCCAUCGUGGGAUUGGAUCCAGUUAAGUGCAACCACGAGAAACAGAGGUGAUAAAAGAUGGCUCACACGAGUCUAAAAUGACAAAAUCGUGUAAUACAUGGUAGUUAUAGGUGUUCCGUAAGCUAAUCACGUGAGUAAUGAUAUGUGUAAUCUAUUGGAUAAUCUCUUUUAGUUAAUAUUAAUAAUGAUAUUUUUUUACUUUAUAUUAUAUGAUGAAUAUAUUGUGAUGUUUUUGAAUCUGUGCAAUGUGAAUUGGAUCAUUGUGAGAUUAUGAUAAUGAGACUAAUUCAUUUUUUAACACGAAUCAUUUCUGGUCAUAGGUUACUCGAGAAAGAAAUCAAAAUAAUCGAAUAGACCGAUGUACGAUAUAUCCGUCCAUAUAAUAGAAAUAACUAGUCUCAUAAUUACUUGUGUAGUAACAUAACUAAUAUGUAUAGGCCAAACAAAUGAUUUGCAUUUAGAUUUAUGAAGGCAUACACAUUUCAGAUACACAUAACUAUUAUGCGAAGGCAUACGCAUAACUAAAUGUAUAAGCAGUAGCAAAUCGUAAUUACAUUGUUCAAAUGAAAACACUAAAUUACAUGUUAAGCAGCACGCCGAAGCAUGCUGCUGUGAUUGAAAGCAGGAGACAGACAGACACUCGCUUUUUCGUUGUAUCAGUGGACUGAGCACCUGAAGUGCAAUAAAUCUGACAAAAUCUAAGGACUAAACACACGUCCCACAAACACGAUAUGCAUCGAACAAAAGUAUCAAGUUUUGAAGAACCAUAUGUGAUUUGACGUGGGAACAAGAGGCGGAUUCCACGAUUUAAGUGACAUGGAUGAUGCAAUAACAACAGGGAUUGAUUACCUUGUGCGUAAAAUUAUUUUCUCUAGAUUGCUCUAACUGAAACGAAUGAAGAGUUUGUGCGUCUGGGUCGGCGGAUGGGAUCACGGCAACUAGUUCUUCCAUGCUGACGAUGACCUCUUCAGAUGGUGUAGGAGUCAUCAUCCGGAUGAUAGUUUGUGCAUCUGGAUCGGCGGAUGGCAUCACGACAACUAGUUCUUCUUGGUCAUCGGAUGGUAUGCUGAUGAUGACCUCUUCAGAUGGUGAACGCACAGCCAUUCUUAUGCCCGGAGGUUCGAAAUGAAUGGGAUUAAGAAAUGCAUCCGCCGACCCAGAUGCACAAACUCUUCAUUCGUUUCAGUUAGAGCAAUCUAGAGAAAAUAAUUUUACGCACAAGGUAAUCAAUCCCUGUUGUUAUUGCAUCAUCCAUGUCACUUAGAUCGUGGAAUCCGCCUCUUGUUCCCACGUCAAAUCACAUAUGGUUCUUCAAAACUUGAUACGUUUGUUCGAUGCGUAUCAUAUUUGUGGGACGUGUGUUUAGUCCUUAGAUUUUGUCUGUCUUGUCUCCUGUUUUCAAUCACAGCAGGUGCUCAGUCCACUGAUACAACGAAAAAGCUCAUGUCUGUCUGUCUCCUGCUUUCAAUCACAGCAGCAUGCUUCGGCGUGCUGCUUAACAUGUAAUUUAGUGUUUUCAUUUGAACAAUGUAAUUACAAUUUGUUAGUGCUUAUACAUUUAGUUGUGUGUGUAUCUGAAAUGUGUAUGCUUCCAGGAAUCUACUUGCAAAUCAUUUGUGACAAAUUUACCCUUCUAACAUAUUUAUUUUUAAGUAAAUAUAUUAUUUUAUUUAAAUUAAUUAAAAAAUAAAUUAAAACAUAAAUAUAUGGUUAUAUAUAAUCUUACAGAAAAUCUUAUAUGAUUCAAAUAUAUAAUAAAUAAAUAUAUAAUAUAAUAUAAUAGCACAAAUCAAUAUAAAAUAAUUUUUAAAAAUAAAUAAAUAAAAUUAUAUUUUAUAUAAGACAGUAAAUCAUAUUGAUUUCUCACUAUAGUGGCAAUCUUGUGAUCUUAUUGAGGCAUUUUCUACUUGUCCGAAUCUUAUUACAAAAGAAUGUAGAUAAUCAAGUAAGUAAAUAAAAAAGAUUACGUAAAAUAAAAUGCACAUGAGGAAUUUGCUUAUUGAAGCCUUGGAAAGAGAAACAUAAGAAAAGAACUUACUUUCGAUUACCAAUUUGACAAUAGUAGACUUUUUCAUUAAUAGUUAUUCGAGUGACAUAUAGAAAGAAGUAUGAUAAUGAAUGAAGCGAAUCGGAUAAAAGAUAGUUAACUCGAACCUCAAUAACUUCAUUCAACAUACCGGAUAAAAGAUAGUUAACUCUUUCGUCUAACAUAUUGAAAUGCCAUGUAUAUAGCUCACAACAAUUUUCCAUCCAUUCGAUUGCUCGGAAACUCCGCGAAAAAUAUGGGAAGGCCAAAUCUCCCACACACAAAAAAAAAAAAAAGCUAAUUAGGGACAAAUAACAUCUUUCAAUUAUGAACGAAAAAAUAAUUAUAAGUAAUUUAGUAUAUAUAGUAGAAGAUGAUCAUUCUAAUUCGUACUUUCUUUAUAGAAUCACCAUUACAAUUUUAUUUCAGUUAAAAACCCACCCAAGCAUCCACUAUCAAGUAGCAUCCUCACUGUGAUCACAGCAACAAUUAGUAAAAAGCACAGAAAAGUCUAUUUAGGAUACGUAUCUAAUAAAAUAUCAGUUCCAUAAAAUAAUAUCAUAAUGUAGAGGGAUGCUCGGUUACUUGUCCCGAUAUGAUUCGAUUGCUAUACCAUAGAGAAAACGAUGGUUAAUAUCAGGAAUUAGACAAUGUUAGUCCCUUUGAUUCUCUGAUCUUGAUGAUGAUACAAAUCAAAGGAAAAAAAACAAAUGAAUAUGACAGUCAACAUCCUAAUAGCAUUGAACACCCUGGUUUUUCUAUUGUAGCCUCCGAUCCGUAGUACUGUGUGCUUCCGAUUAAAGGCUACAUUUUUCUCAUAGAUGAAAAAACAAGGGUUUCAAUUUGUGGAUGACUCAAGUUUGUAUGUUUAUAUCAGUAGCCACCACCGACCAUCUUGGUUCUACUACUCGGUUGUCACAAAGCCUUCCACUUACAAGUAUUGCGAAAAAGAAAAUUAAAGAUGACCAUGGGAGAUUGGAGACAAGGUAUGUUGAAUGAUGAGACAAGGUAUUGUCAAGGGCAGAACUAACGAGGUUUAGGCCAAGAGGAGACACAGUUUGGCUUAAAGAUGAUCAUGGGAGAUUGGAGAUAAGCUACAUCCCAAGGUAGAGACUAAAUAUGACACUGGUUCAUUGAACCAAGGGUGGGAUGAUACGAAGGACCAAUAGAUUCAUUAUACUAAACCAAUUCAAUGAAUUUUACAUAUUAAAUAUUUUAAAAAUAAGGGAUAUAUGAUAACAGAGAGUGGACCAAUUGAUUCAUUAUACUAAACCGAUUCAAUGAAUUUUAUAUAUUAAAUAUUUUAAAAAUAAGAGAUAUCUGAUAACAUAAAGAUUUUCUCAACUGCAUAGUAUAUGAAAGAUUUUCUCAACUACAUAUAAUUGAGAUGUGCUUUCUCUUUAUCUUUAUAAUUUCACUCUUCAUUCUAUCACUUUAUUAAUAUCCUUGAUAAAUUUUGAAUAGAGUGAUGUAUCCGAUAACAUACGAUUACGUAGGAUUUUUCUUGAUAAUUUUAUAAUAAGUGCCUCAUGAAAGAUACAUGUGGCUUGCUACUGAUUUGUCCCAAUUGGCUUUGAGGAUUUAUAGUUGUAUGAUUCAAAUCUACUAAUAUUUUUGUAUUAGGAGGCCUCUUCAAGUGUAUAGUUUUUUAAGUUUCCUUCUCUUUAGCCCAAGGUCUUUUUUUACUUUGAUUUAAUAAUUCACUCUAUGAGGUCCUCUUCAAGUAUGUAGUCAUCGAAGACCCUUUUCGUCAUGAUCUUUCUUUUCCUCAUGCAGCUUUCUUCAUCGUUAUAGGCGAAUCUUCUGCCUUUAUGAUUUAUUCGUAUAGUUCCCUUAGCUAUAGAUACGAUCCAUACACUAUUAGGAAUCAAAUUCUCUUCUAACGUGUCAUCGUCGAGGUCCUUUCUCUCAUGUCCAUGACCUUUCUCAUUCUGACUUUAAUUAUAGAUAAUAAUAUUAUUCUUAUGCAUCCCUUGCAUUAAUAUCCAACCUUAGGUUAGUCAUGGCUAAUCAACAUUAACUAGUAUGGAUAAAAAAAAACAUAAAUAUAUAAAAUAUCUCAAAUGUUCUUAUAGUCAUAAUUAAUAUAAUCUAGAGUUUAAAUUAAUCUGUCCAAAUCUGAUUGAUGAAAGAGAAAACUACUUUGCCUAGUUGAUCAAGUAAUCCAAAGAUCAAUUUUCACAAACCACAAGAUGAGUUCGUUUUGCCCGUCUGUCAAAGAUUAAUUUCAAGAACAAAUAAUAUGUCAUACUAUGUUAUGUGCAAGAAAGAUUCUAUUCCUUUUUGAAUGAAAUUUAGAUUAUACAGUCAUAAUAUAUGUUCAAUAGGAUCAGGGAAUUGACAUCAUUAUUAUCACGACUCGAGUUUGAUGAGCUAACUAGCCAAUAACUCCAUUUGAUCUAAACUAUUGAUCAAAAUGCUUAAAUUAGAAUUAACAUAACAUACUCAUCAGAUCCUUAUAAGCUAAACUUAAUCUUUGUUUGCUUCCGACUAAUUAGAAUAUUAGGUGCUACCACUGCUUCAGUAGAGGUCAAACUCCCAUGUAGACACCAUAUACGAUGUUAGCAAUGUCGCAGGGUGAUAACCACAUGACUCCCAUUAGAGGUCAAAGUCCAUUUUGUAGUUAAAUCAUCUUAUUCUACUGCUUCAGGUGGGAAUGAGGCCGCAUCUAGCAAGGGUGCUUCAGAUAGAUUCAUAACAUUUAAAGUCGCUGUAGAUCCCCUCCUUGCUAAUAACAUAAUUUGUUGAGCCUGAAAAGAAAAUUAAUCAACAAAAUUGCUUCACACCCAUGGUAUUCAUUCUCCAUCUUGCAUGAUCACCAUGAAAUAUGAAAGAAUCACAUUUACGAACUCCUUGAAGAAAAUAGUUGGCUGAGCAGUCAUAUUGGUGGUGGUGUCGGGCAUAUUGCUGGAGAAACAAAUACAUCAUGCCAAAUCGUCAACAAGAUGGAAUUGAUAAUGUCUGAAGCAUAGAGUUGAAGGCUUUGUUCUGAAACUUAUCACAAAAUAUUUUACCUUGGAGCAAUGGCUCCACCAAGCACAGGGCCACCAACGGGGGCACGGCGCUAACUGUGGUUCCACCUCCAAAAGGCUGUUGCUUGAACAAAGGACUGCUCAUGUUGACAGGGAUAGAGUGAUUCAACUUGUGCGGUGAAGUGCCAAGGAUCAACAAGACCAGUGUUCUGAGGCUGACAUGCAUGGAAUGUAUAUUGGUUGACGUUGUGCCAUAUGUCAAAACCAAAGCAUUUCUACAAUAUCAAGACGCAAGAACAUGCCAGUUUGGUGAGCAAAAUGACCAGUGUGAUGAUUGGUGUUGUUUAAAAUCAGUUGGAAAAUCGAUGCACACCUAUCUGAUUGGCCUCGAAGGCAUCAAUGGCUGAUAUAGGUUGGAAUCUAGAAGAUUGAGUGUUCAUCAAAGACAGUUUCUUGGCUUCUCCUCUUGAAAUAUGAAUGGCUGCAUGGUAGGCACCUUGCUCAAGAAAGACCACUGCACUGUUGAACCUCCUUAAAGAGCAGAGCUGAGGGUUAGAAGCAAAUGCAUAAGGCAGAUUCGGAACUAGAUCAGAAGCAUCUACCAUCAAUUUGACUAUUGAUUCUUCUCAAAAGCUAUAUAAAUCGAUUGGCCAGUGACAUAUACCACAGUAAAAACCACCUCAAAUUUACAAUACGAUGGGUCUGAUGGACUCAAAUUCCAAAUGCCCUGUGAUGAAACGCCUACUCUCAAAUAACUAUCGAGCAAAAGUAAUUAUAGCAGUAAGAAGUUAAAGGCAAGCAUUUUUCACAGAUAGCAUCCAAAUCUUCACAAAUUUGAGCCUCUGGCGUCCAACAUUUUACUGAAAAUUUUAGCUGUUAUAGCACCAAAAAUAUAAAAAUCUUAUCUUUUUUUAAAGAAACGAGCUAAACCCAUCAAUAGAAAUAGAGCAAGUUACUGGCUGAGCAAAGACUAAAGAGGCCUAGUGAGUGCUGAAGAGGAUGAGGUAGAAGCACAAGGCUAUUGAAGCCUGGUUCCCUGGUGUCCUUGGCACUACUGAGGAUGAGGCAAAGGUCCUUGGCUGCUACCGAGGCUUGAUUUCUUGAGUUAUCCUUAGCACUGUAGAGGAUAAUGUGGAGGUGUUAGGCUGCUGAAGCCUGGUUUCCUGGGCCGUCCCUAGCACUAUCAAAGAUGAGAUGGAGGCAUUGGGCUAUUGAGGUCUAGUUCAUUGGGUUAUCCUAGACACUGCGAAGGACAAGGCGAAGGCGCUAUGCUAUUAAAUCCUAGUUUUCUUGGUUGUCCUUGGUGCUUCCGAGGACAAGGUAGAGGCGCUAGGCUACCGAGGCUUGGUUCCUUGGGCUAUCCUUAGCACUGCCGAGGACGAGAUAGAGGUGUUGGGCUACUUAAGCCUAGUUUCCUAGGUUGUCCUUAGUGCUGCCGAGGACAAGACAGAAGCAAUAGGCUAUUGAGGCCUAGUUCCUUAGGCGAUCCUUGGUGCUAUCGAGGACGAGGCUAAGGCGUUAGGCUACUAAGGCCUGGUUCCUUGGGCUAUCUUUAGCGCUGUUGAGGAUAAGGCGAAGGCGUUGGGCUGCUGAAGCCAGGUUUGCUGGGUUGUCCUUGGCGCAAUCGAGGACGAGGUGGAGGCGCUAGACUAUUAAGGCUUAGUUCCUUAUGUUGUUCUUGGCGUUGCCAAGGAUGAGGUGGAGGCAUAGGGCUACUAAAACCUGGGUCCCUAGGUUGUCCCCAAGGUUGCUGAGGAUGAGGCGAAGGCAUCAUUCUGUUGAAAUUGGAUACGUUCCUUCUCUUCCCGAGAGGACUUAGGAUCAGAGGUAUUUUCUUAUAUUUAUAGAGGCCUCAUAUCAACUUACCCUGAUGAAUCAUAUUAUAUUGGGUACUAGAUUCCCAUCCAACUACCCAUGCCUCUUAGAUUAGUGAGUCUCUACCAAAUAAUUUUUUAUUUGCUCUUAUUUGAUCUCAUCUAUAUGAUCUAAUAAUUCAGGGGCUUAUUGGAUAUCCAAUAAGAUAGGUGCUCCAGCGGAUAUCUCAUAUCUGAAUCUCUACUCAUCGCAACACCUAUCAUAUGUGUGUAACCCUCUAAGCCUAAUAUCGAGCUGGCCAUGAGUCAUAUAUGUUAGAACUCCUUCUAGCUCGGUAGAUUAUUAUCUUUAUGAUAAUUCAUUUGAUUCAUCGACUACGGAUGUACUAGGCCACUACGUCGCAGUCCCUAGACGAUAUAGGGGAAUCUAAUCCUUUGGACAUAUUUAUCCUCAGUUAUCGUAUACCUAUAGUCUCUCAUCAAUCUAAUAUCCCAGAGAUUGUAUACCGGGCAUAAUACUAUUAGACCCAUAUGGUUUCUCCUUAAGUCUCGUUCUAAUCGGAUUCUCCUAGAGAAUUCUUUAUCUCUUAAUCUCCCUAGUGUCCCCACAUGAGCAACUAUGAGACCUGUUACCUCCAUCGUAUGGAUAGGUAUAUAAUAUACUAGUCUAUCUGAUUAUCUUGAUGUCCCUCUUGAGUACUUAUGAUCGAGAUUAUUUAUGAUCUGUGUUUAAAGGCGAAUCGAUCUCAUUAUCAUAAUCUUAUCAUGAUUUGAUUCUCAUUGCACGGAUCCAUGGACAUCACAAUAUAUAUAUUUUUAUGCAACAAGUAAUAUAAAGUGAUAAAAUAUCAAAUAAUAUAAUAAGUAAAAAGAGUGUGUGUCAUACCACACGUGACAUCACUCACAUAAUUGGCUUGUAAGGCACCUAUGACUAGCAGUUCGACCAUCCUUCUAAUGCCAAAAUGAUAGUUCAUCGAUACUAUCGAUUGGUUCAUUACCGAAGGUGUAUAUUCAUUCUUGUGUUCUCCUUCAUGUUGAAGUGACAAACCAUUGUAGGAGGUCCACAAGGGAGGUGGUUUGUUGGGGUCGAUCUAGCUUUGGAGCGGUGAGACUGGGUAGAGGAACCGGGAUCUAUUCGGUUGUGAGGUCCUCUCUUUAGACGGAUAGAUUGUCCUCAGGUUGAAGGGUUGUCUCGUGUCUACGAGGCUACAUCCUGGUAGCGGAGUCGUUUUAUGAUCGUCAAUGAUCCUGCAUAAUAGGUCUAUGUCGGGGGCUUCCCAGCUGAAUCCCUUUGAUACUUAAGUCAGCGAAAGGUGAAGGGGGAGGAAGACAAUAGUAUCAGUUAUGUAAAUAAGAGAGUAGAGAGACUAUUGUUUACUUCACCCCUCUUGGCGCUUAACCUAGGGCAUAAUUUUUAUACUUCGGCACUGAGCGAUUCAAACAUGCAUUACCUUAUAUAGCAAAGGCAUUAAGAAUGGUAACUUAUUGUCAAUCAUUAAUGUAAAUAUAUGAUUGUUUGGGACACCAAAUGAUAUGGACAUAUAAGUUAGCUUCGGUCUCCUACCCUGCAUAGGUAUUAAGAGAGAGCCUCUAUGACAAAGGUAUUAAGAGAGAGAGAGAGAUAGAAAGCUAGCGAGGCUAGGUCUUGAUCACUGGUUUUUAUGUUUUUAUGUCUUUAUUAUCUUUUAAUGCAUGUGGCUAAGGGAACUGAAGUGUCCAAUAUUAUUCGUAUGAAACUGCAUGUGAUAUUUAAGGGGAUAGGUUGGACUUUUUCACCUAGUAUAAAAUUCGAGUAAUUUAAAUUGGAUUAUUUUAUAAUCGAAAUCGAAAUGAGUUCGUAAAUAAAAUAAACAUCACCCACAACACGACACGUGCAACACUAACAUUGCCAAGAACAAGUGGCCACGUGACCAACACAGUACACAUGCCUACCCCAUCUUUCACUUGAUGGAGUUAAAUUACGUUUAACUCCUUUGUCUUAUUCAAAUCGGCUUUGCUAAUUUAUCAGAAAAACUACUCCCGACACGUUCGCAACACGUAGACGGUUUAAAGCGACAGAGACGGGUGUGCCGUAUCCAGCAGGAUUUACUAAACAAAGCUAUCUGGCAACCGGCAGAAUCGUGGACCCCACGAGUUAUUCCGUGGGUGCAUAAUCAUAAUAGCUAACUUUUUAGCUCUUGGUUUCUGCAAGACAGCCGAUCCGCCAUCACCCGUAACCGUCAUACACGCGAUCCGGAUCGGUGAGUGAUAUCUGGGCACCGAGUCAGCGGACGCGCUCCGUGGGCGCCACCGCGUCAAAUAAAACAAAAAAGUUCUACGUAUCUCUCGAUUUUAAAAUGAAUUAAGUUACCCUAUAAAAAUAGAAAAAGAAAUAUUUUUGCUCCAUAAAAAAAUAAGAGCCGAAGAUUGAAUUGACAGCCAUCAAAUUAAAGAAACCAGAAAAUCCAUAAGCCAUGUACUUUGAUCUAUAUCAAUGUUAUUUAAAUUCUAAUUUUGUUAUAGUCCAAAUAAUGAAUUUUAAUUAUAAUGAUUUUUUUUAUUUUUUUGGGGUAUAUAUAUAUAUAUAUAUAUAUAUAUAUAUAUAUAUAUAUAUAUACAGAGAGAGAGAGAGAGAGAGAGAGAGAGAGAGGGGGUGUACGAUUGUGGCAUGCAUCGGUUCGCGAAUUCGAUGGAUCCACUAAAUCUGGCCCCGCGACUUCAGGAAUGAAUCGACAGCAGCGGCCUUUUCUCCACCCAUCUUCCAAGCGAGUAUCUAUUGGAUGAAAACGCCUCCGUUCCCCAUUUAAUUCGGCCCCCUCUCCAAUUCUCGACGGAAUUGGAGCUUUCAUCAUCAUCGUCUGCGAUGGCGUCU
Molecule: long non-coding RNA, 84032 nt
Filed under: Musa acuminata (dwarf banana)
Lineage: Eukaryota; Viridiplantae; Streptophyta; Magnoliopsida; Zingiberales; Musaceae
Description: long non-coding RNA (MACU_LNC004761)
Source: RNAcentral